This 52457-nucleotide long non-coding RNA is filed under the name Coffea arabica (coffee). RNAcentral's name for it is "long non-coding RNA (CARA_LNC004893)". The record is from RNAcentral. Lineage: Eukaryota; Viridiplantae; Streptophyta; Magnoliopsida; Gentianales; Rubiaceae.
UCCUCCAGACCUCUGGUGUCCUUAUCAAGAAGAAGGUCAAACCGUAGCCUUUCUGCGCGCAGUUUCUUUAGUUUGAAACGGCACCAACAUUUUGAGCACAUUCAAAGGACUGUGUGCACGAACAAUUUGCUACUUGUUUUGGGCUUCUUCUUCUUCCUCCUCCUCCUCCUCUUUGUUUUAAUUUUUUUUUUUAAAAUUUUUUUUUUUGAUUUGGGAGGGCGGGGGCAGGACUCAGGAGUUUGCUAGUAUUACAUAUGCAUUCCUGUUGGUUGGGGAAAUGCUAGUUCUUACUAAUCACUCUUUUAUUUGAAGGUGAAGUGUGGAGAAUUUUCUGCGGGUACAUACAUGCAGUUUUCAUAUUCGAAUAAGCAGCAGAUUGAAGAGCCAAAAUGUUGAGGAUCGAUGGACUUGGAAACUGCAGCUUGGCCUGCUAUUGCUAUAGGACAUGCUAUUGCUGCACAAAGUUACGAAAGAAAGAAGCAAUGCGACAUUUCAUUGUGAUAGUGAUUUAAGCAUCUAUCAUUUGGAAUAUAUGUCAAAAAUUACACCAACUUUAUAACUAUGACGUAAUGGCAGCUACCCGAUAGCAAUAUUCUCCUCUCAAGUUAACUGAUAAUUAGCAAGGAAACCCCACCCCACCCCACCCCACCCCCACCCCAUUGCAUGUUAUAUGUUAUUCACAGCCAAAUGAUUGCAAUCAGAAAUCACAUCUUUUUUUCCUUUCUUCAACCAAAUAUUAAUGGCUGGCUUUAAAGCUGAUAACAUAAUAAUUAAACCUAUAUAUUCUGACAAAUUUUUUUUUUUUUGGUGUUGGUGCAUUCGCUAAAUGAUUGAUCAUCAUCAUGUCAGAAUUGAGCGUCUAGCUAGGAACUUCCUUCAAAAAUGUUUCCGCUCAUUCAAGAUCACUUGCCAAAUCUGUUGUUGGUCAAGAAAACUCGAAAUUAAUCCACCAUAUGGGAGACACAAAGAAUACAAAUGCCCUCCAAUAAUACGACCAAAGUCAAGUACUUAGGAGCUAAGUUUCUAACAAGUACACGGGACACACGCGGUGGAAAAGAAAGGAGGAACGGAGCCUUGUAGGUCACAAAAGAUGGUUGGGUUGAGAUUCUGAUCGGCACCAUUCAUGUAAAGAUUAAUUAUUGUCACUCACCACCAUUUAGCCAACUCCCACACAAAAGAAAAUAAAAAAUUUUUUUUUAAAAAAAAUAAAAAAUAAAAAAAAUAAAAAUAAAGAAAAAGGGGGCAAAGCUAGCCAAAAAGAGUUGAAACAGCGGAGUGGAGGUGGAUUGGCCAUGACAUUAGGGUAUCUAUCCAUCUCCUUCUUCUAUCCCUGCUGUCCUUCCAAUAAGCAAGCACCAUGCAUGGAACCAGCGCCAUACGCUUGCUUUUUUUUUUUUUUUUUUUUUUUUUUAUGCAUGGUUACGAGCGAAACGAGUGAUGGUGGUCCAAUCGCUUAUAUAUACCAGAUGGUACUACUACUACUAGUAGUAUAAUACUGCUCUACUGAUACGAAUAUAUGAUCAUCGAUUCUCCGGAUAUGUUAAUUUCACUUUGAAAAUACCUUUGAUUCAAAUAGUUUUCUUUCUUUCUUUCCGAGCUGUGACCACUAUGAUCGUUAAUUUGUAGUUUAUGGGCAGCGAUUCCAUCAUAUUUCACAUGUGGCGUUUGGCAUCUCUCUUCCCCCUCAACUUGCACUUGAAUGGUGCAAAUCAAUGCAUAUUUAUAAGUCCCCACCUUCAAAUAAUUGGCUCGGCAUAUUUUCAAUGGUAUUCCGCAAAACCCUAAAACGUAGCCACCAUAAAUGUCAUGAUAUAUGAUGCUCUUUGGAUCCUUUUUGCUCGAGGAAACACGAAGGGAUGUGAUUCAGGCUAGGCUGGGCUGGGCAAUUGUAAACACGCUUUCCUGUCAAAAUUUGGCUAUUUUAUCCGUAAAUCAUCUUGAUCAAUUAAUUUGCUUGAAUUUUCUGGCAAAUGGUAUCGUCACAAUCUAAUUUUAUUUCCACAUUGAAAUGGCAAAAUCACCUACUUUAUGACCAAAUUGUUUCUUGGAGUUUUUUUUUUUUUGGCUCAAAAAAAAAAAGAAUGAAAUUUAAGAAGAUGAGAGGGAAAAGAAAAUUUAAAUUCGUGACCUCUAUGUCGUCUUGAGAGACGCCUCUCUUCGCCGGAGUUGAGAAAAUUGAGAAAAGGAACUUGGGUAUUCAUUUCCGUGCCUGUGGAAAUAAAAUUUGAACUGGGUCAUUAAUGGCAGCGAGUUUUCUAGCUGUAAUGGGGCUGAAGCCCAAAUUGUAACAUUUUUGAUUGCAGAUACGGAGGGAAGGCUGUGCAUCAGUGGUGGCGGUUGCACAAUGGAAGCAACCCAACUAAAUUCGCGGACCGUUGAUGCAAUGAAGUCCAAAAACCAACGUAAGUAAAUCUUCCUUUGGGCCGGAUAGAGGCAUUCAUUUUGUCUUCUUAUCCAGCUGAAUGAAGUUACUUAGACCCAAAAGAGACUGCUAGCGCGACAGCGUCCGUACACAGACACAAACCAAGAGAAACGGAAGCUGCGAGACUGUGAAGGUGCCAAGAAACCUCGUCGGUCAUCAUUUUAUGGAGCUUUCACCCCCUCCAGCAUGCACGUCUGAAUGGCGAAGCCACGUAGAUUUGUCGCCUUCUUCGUCAUGUCCCCCCUUUUUAUUCAUUCAACGCCACCUCUUCCAAGCUUACACUUUCGUCAUCUUGCUCAGAAAAUGUCUCAGAAAAUUUUUAUGAUCUCGCCAUUUUCGUUCUUCAUAUGCUUAAUCUUAGUUUUAUGUUUCACCUGUAUAAAUGUGGGAGCUGCUUCCGAUGAGGAGAGUGAAUCCUAUUUGGGAUCUUUGGUGAAGAAGAAAGAUGAACGGAAGCUAAUUUCUUCGAGUGAAUAUGGAGAGAUAUCAGGGGUUAGUGUUAGAGAGCGGACGGAUUUGUCGUAUCACCUUCAGUUCAUCACCUUGAAGCCAUUUGCUCUUUUCCUCCCCGUUGUAUUACAUGCAAAUAUGGUUUUCUAUGCGCAAACAGGUAAGCAAAACAAGAGCCUAGAGUUUAUCCAAUUAAAUCUUCAUUGUAUGUUGCGGUCUUUAAAAGGACUCGUACUAUUGCUAAUUUUUGGUGCAUUAUUAAGUUACUAUAUAUUGGUGUGUGAAACAUGGGAUGUGGUGAUUCAGAUUCAUCAGGCCAUGAAUUCAGAAUUUCUCUUUUUCCCCACAAUGUUGAAGUCGUGGCCUAAAACUUUGCCAUGAAAUAUGAGAGUGUUGCAGGUUCUGGGAAGCUGAGUUACACUACCGAAGCGGGCCGCAUGCUGACAAAGACGUUGAGACAAGGAGAUACUUUGGAACUCAAUCCAGGGACUAUUUUCUUCAUGGAGGCCAUCCACUGUGUGGACGAACUAAGAGUUUACGCUAUCUUUGGUAAUUUGAGGGAACAUUUCCGCGUAAGAACUUUCAACGCCCCUGAAUUUGUUUCUUUUAUCUUAUACUAAUUUGUAACUCUUCAGUUGGGUUUCCAUAGGGACCGGCAACGACAGCACCAUACUCUAGUUUCCGCCACCUGAUCCUCGGCUUUGAUAAAAUGAUUCUGCAACUAACCUUCAAGGUACAUCAGAAUUUGGGUUUAUUUAGUGGGUGUAAUUGCCUCCUUCCCAGUUAACUAGCAUGUUUGGCUUGAUUUAGGAAAAGAGACAGUAUGCGGUUUGGAUUAAGGGCUUCGAUCUUGUUAAAUGAAUUUAGUGAUGCAAAAUUGUGUUUGAAGGUGCCUGAAGAUGUGAUUAAAGAGAUAAUGAAUAAACCGAACCCACCGGCCAUUGUUUCCAGCGUCUCGGGAACAAUGGAAAAAUUAUGGGAUUUGGAAGCUCGUUUCAUUAAAGAAUUAACAAGAAGCACGGGGCCCAACCUCCUCAACAUGCUUGGCUUAGAACGAGAUUGUGGGAACCAUAAUGGGUGGAGAACAACAUCAAACAAGAAAAAGCUCCCAGAUUUCAAAGGUUUCAAAGGUUCCAACUUUGGUGUUUCCGUAACAAAUUUGACCAGAGUAAGCGUGGCUACAGUCAGUUAGCUCUUAAUUGGCUCCCUGCAUUAUGCUGCAAUGCCUCAAAUAACUAAUUAUUUAAAUCAUCAACAAUUGACACAUAUGAUGAUUGACUCGAAUGUUUAUCUGACAAAAUGGAAAAUUCCAGGGAUCGAUGGUGGCGCCGCACUGGAAUCAAAUGGCGACUGAGAUAGUAAUUGUUUUACAAGGAAAAGGAAUUGUUCUAGUGGUUUGUUCUAGCAUUUUUGCUAAACAAAAUGAAUGCAAAAACAUGAGGUUUCAAGUGGGAGAAGGUGAUGUGUUUGUCGUGCCAAGGUUCCAUCCUACAGCUCAAAUGUCUUUCAGUGAUGAAACAUUUGUUUUCAUGAGAUUUAGUACCACAAGAAAGAAAAUUAGCCAUCAAUAUCUGGUUGGUAAAACUUCCAUUUUCAAGACCUUAGGCAAACGUAUAUUGGCAGCAUCACUGGGUGUUAAUGAAACAAUAGCAGACAUGGUUAUGGCUUCACAGAGGGACUCCGUAGUCUUGGAUUGUAAUUUGUGUGCAGAGGAAGAAUUAAGGAUGAUGGAGGAGGAAAUAGAAAAGGCAAAACAGACGGAACCAGAGACCCCAGAAGCAGAAGUAGAAGCUGGAGAAGGAACUGAAAAACCAGAAGAAGAAUCAGGGGAAGGGAAAGAUCGACCAGAGAAACCAGAAGCUAGAGCCAGGGAAUAUAAAAAUGAAGUCACAAUCAAAGAAAAGAGAUGAGCAUAGGCUUGAAAGGGAUGUAAUUCAAACUCAAUAUUCAGCUUUUGUUGUUAAUCAGAUUUGCAUUGCUGAAGUAAUUAGUGUUUAUUUCUAUGUACAAUUGCCGAUUUUUCACACAGAGAAGGUUGGUGGCAUUUGGGGGUGUGGUAUUGUUCUGCAUGGCAGACGACUCCUAGGACUCGUAUUUCAGUAUGGUAUAUAUCUAGGAGCUGAGUAGCCUUUCCAAUUUCUUAAUCACGCACGCGCGUAGCAAUAUCAUAAAAUUGACCAAAUCAUCAUCUACUUGUAUUUCUGCAUAAACUGAUCUAAUAUCUUUCGUAACUUUAUCAGAGUAUAACAUUUUGUGAAUCAUAGAGGAAUGCAAAACUAAUUAUUUCAGCUCCAUUCUUGCCUUUGACUUUCAUCUCGUAGUCAACUUAUCAGCAAAUUUACGGAAAUAAUGUGCAAAUGACAAUGAAGAGAAUCCAGCAGUGAAGUGCUGCAUUAGCAUUUAUAUCCAUGUUAUGCAGAUACCCUUAAAUGUGUUUGAAAUUUCAAAACUUUGCCCUUCCAAUUUGUAGGUUCAUGAGCAGCUGGGGGAUUUCACAAAUCUUAGAAGGGAAAGGAGAAAGAAAAGAGAGUCAAAUAAAAAAAAUCUCAGAAUCACAUAACUUAUGUUCCUGCCACCCAAAUUGAGUUUUCAGGACGGAUGAUUAUUAAUUUUUCUGUAAAAAUAGAACGCAGCCCCCAUUUUGCAGGUUGCUCUUUGUAAUAUACCUCGAAAGAAUGGAAAUGGAAGUAUGGCCCUUUUUUUUUUUUUUUAAUUUUAAUAGAAAUACCCCAUUAUCUACAAUGGUCAUGAAUUGACCAUUGCAUAGAAAAGUUCAAGAUCAUUGCAUCAUUAGCCUACUCAAAAUCGGCGCUCUCGCCUGAAGACAAGUUUGAAUAAAAACCACCCAGCUACGGCUAAGGUCUCAUGCAUUUUUGCAUGAAUGUUUCAACAUGUUCAACACGAACAGCUGCCUCGUGGCACCUUCAAAUUGCCCCGUGUCCAUGCAAAAGCCACGUCGCUUCUCUAAUCCCUGUUUCCAAUUCCCCCUCCCCCUCCCCUAUAAAACCACCGGUUCUGACCAGCUCCUUUCUUCACUUCUCAUUAGUCCAAAAAUUUCAAAAAUGUCCACCGAAAAAUUGUUGUCAGCAUCUUCAAUUUCGCUCUUAGGCUUUGGUUUAUGCUUAUUUCUCUGCGUGCAUGCUACCGCUGGGGAAGAUGGUCAGACUGUCCCCGGAGCAGGACAUUUAGUAAAGAAAGGCGAAAGGCAGCCAAUAAUCUCAACUGGAUUUGGAGAGGUCUCGGGAGUUAGAGUUAGCGAUGGAAACGAGACUUUUAAUAUUCACCUCAUCACCUUGGAGCCCAACUCCUUGUUUCUGCCUGUUAUGCUGCAUCAAGACAUGGUGUUCUACGUUCAUACAGGUAAUUUUAUUAUUAUUAUUUUUGUUUAAAGGUGCUUGGACUCGGGCUGAACCUUCAAUUCCUUGAAUUCAGCUGUAUCUAAUUAGUCUGAUAGUGUCUAUAUUAUCAAGAACAAGAAAUCACCAGUAGUGACUUGUCUUAAUCAUUGAAUUUUGUCAAAUUUUGCGGAGUUCAUCCUGCUGUUUGUGUACAGGGAGCGGAAAUCUGAGCUACAGAGAUGAAAAUAAAAGAGAGAAUACGACCAUAAGACGAGGAGAUGUUUUUCGUCUGGGAUCAGGAAGCGUUUUCUUCAUACAGAGCGACGUAGGUCUGGAGAGACAGAAGCUAAGAAUUUAUGCCAUAUUUGGCAAUGCAGGGGAGGACUUGAGAGUAAGAGACUAAGAGCACUAUUUUUGUCAUUUCACUGAUUUUGUCAAUUGACAAUGGAUGCCUUCAGUUUUCAUACGUGAGUGACCAUGACCAUGAAUAUUGCACUAUCUAAACUUCUUGAUCUUAGGAACCGACUGAAUACGGACCAUACUCGAGCGUUCGCGACUUGGUUCUUGGAUUUGAUAAGAAAAUUCUCCAGGAGACCUUCAAGGUAUGUUAUCUAAUCUAGCAUGUGGUAAAAAGAGUAAAGAGAGACAGGACUGUUUCUUGAAAUCCCUCAUUUUGGGUUGUAACCCCUGGUGCAAAAUGGUACUCAAGGUUCCUGAAGAAGUGAUAGAGGAAAUGACAAGCGGAAGGAAGCCGGAAGCAAUAGUUCGUGGAUUGCCGGGCACUCAGGAAAAAACCAUACGGGAGAGGGAGUAUCAGUUCAUCGAAGCCGUGUUUGGAAGCACAAGUAUUUUCAGCAUUUUCGAAACCAGCAACAAAGACAAGAAGAAGUCCAAAAAAUUCAACAUAUUCCAAGAAAAACCAGAUUUUGAGAAUUGCAACGGGUGGAGCACAACAGUUACCCGGAAAAAGUAUUCCGUCCUGAAGGGCUCCAAAUAUGGCCUUUUCAUGGUGAACUUGACCCGCGUGAGUUUUUAAUCUGAGUUUGCCUGAAAUUUGUAGCUUGCAGUUAGCAAUAUGCAAGAAUGUGCUACUUACCAUACAAAAUUUUCCCACUCUGUUCUGGGUCUGUGCUAGUAACGUAGUAGCCAUUAGUAAAUAGGUGAUUGCUGAUGGGCUUUAUUUUACUUUUUUUUUUUUUUCUAGGGAGGAAUGAUGGGUCCUCACUGGAAUCCCGAGGCAACGGAGAUAGCAGUAGUACUGCAAGGGAAGGGGAUGGUUCGGGUAGUUUGCCCAAGUCUACCGAACAAAGCAGAGUGCAAAAACGCGAGGUUUGGGGUUGAAGAAGGCGACAUUUUCGCCGUGCAGAGGUUCCAUCCCAUGGCGCAGAUGGCUUUCAACAACGAAACGCUCGUUUUCGUUGGUUUCAGUACAUCAACGGAGAACAAUCACCCACAGUAUCUAGCAGGGAAGGCAUCAGUCCUCAGGACUUUGGACAAGCACAUCCUGGCAGCAUCAUUUGGAAUAAAUGAAACUACCUUCGACAGGCUUGUGAAUCAACAACGCGAAUCGGUUAUCUUAGAAUGCACCUCCUGCGCAGAGGAAGAAUGGAGGAUAAUGGAGGAAGAGAUUGAGAGGGAAAGAGAGGAGGCAAGGCAGAGGGAAGAGGAGGCAAGGAAGAGGGAUGAAGAGAGGAAAAGACAGGAAGAGGAAGCUGAGACGAGAGAAGAGGAGGAGGCAGCUAGGGAGAGAGCAGAGGAGGAAAGGAAGAAGAGAGAGCAAGAAGAAGAGGAAGAGGCGGCACGGAGAAAGAGAGAGGAAGAGGCAGCACGAGAAAGGAGGGAACAAGAGGAAAGAGAACAAGAAGCAGCACAGAUGGAAGAGAAAGAAAGGGAAGCAGCUAAGCGAGAGGAAGAAGAAGCAGCACAAAGAAGACAAGAAGAAGCUGGCCAGGGAGAAGGAGGGCGCCCACACGAAGGGGGCAGGGAAGCACGGCCGCCGGAGGAAGACGGAAGAGGAGGAGUAGGAGCCAGGCAGGAGGAGGAAACUGCAAAGCAACAAGAAAAAGAAAUGGGACAAGAGGAGGAGCAGGGCAAUGGCCAAGGAUGGGGAAGAAGAAUCCUUAAAAAUGCUUCUUGACUGUGUCUAGUAAUGCUCAAAAGUAGACGUUUCCAGUGAGCAUAAAGCUGAAUAAGCAGUUUUGUUUCAGUCUUUGCUUUAUUUUGUGUUUGCUUGUGAAAUACCUUCAGUUGAGAGCUCCAUUAGCGCAUGGUGAAGUCCUUUAAAAGCCAGCUUAUUGAAUUCCUACGAAUGAAUGACUCCAAUUAAUUCCUGCGAUUGAUCUAUCUUAGAACUGCUUGAGCAAGAGCCAAAACUCAGCCAGGUUUUCUCACAUCAUGGACAGGAAUCCUAAACUCGAGCAAUAAAGGAGUUUUCCAUACCUACUUUUCUUACUUUUUGAUGGAUUGCAAGAGAGGAAUAUGUCUCACAAUGAACAAUGGACGACGUAAACGGGUCCUCAAAUAGCCCAAAAAGAUGAAAAAAAAAAAAAAGGACAACGCUUGAAUACCCCCACAGAAAGCAUUUUCAAGCUACAAUAGCACGCAGAAAUGAUUUUGUAAACAUUCUCAGACUAUUAAUACUCAAUUAGAUAUCAGGGACGACCUCUGGGUUCAACGGCAGCUCAAAAAGCUAGGAAACUACUAUCCAUAUCUUACAACUGUAACGGAACACCUUCAUACGUAUCAAAUUUAGUAUCAAAUUUGCAAAAGAAGAGGGAGAAAGGGGGUGAGGAAAUCUGGAAAAUCUCGAAAGCUUUGUAAAGAGAAUAAACACCACGUAUUCAAAGGCCAGAAUGAGGAAAGGACUGUAUAAAGUCAAAUGUAAGAAUUGUAAAAUCUAUGUUUCAGUCGAGCCUGACAAGUCAGAGACAUACGAAACAACCACCGUAAUGUCAUCAAGUUUUCCACCAUAAUAAGAGAAUCCAAUCUCUUGUGCUGCAGUAGAAAAUGGAGUUUGCCUUUCCCUGUCCUGCGCUCGGUGGCGCGCCAAAGCUGCAACUUUUUGUGCUGUCAACUCAGGGGUGAAACCCGAUGUCACUGCUGCACCAACAAUUGUAGUUAUUUCACGUUUAUACAAGUUAUCAAAUAGCCCAUCUGUUCCGGCAACAAUGACAUCUCCCGGUAAAACUGAAAUCUUGAAAACCUGGCCAAAAUAUUUAAAUCUCAUUUAGGAGGACUCCUGUCGGUGAAACACUAUUAGCGUGAACAAUUGAGAUGAUAUUCUUCUCGAGACAUUCUUGAUUAUAAAAGCACCAUGUAUACAAAUUCACUUGCACAAAAGAUCAGUAAGGAGUGUUCCACUAAAUUACCUGACCGGAACUUGGAAGGUCACCCUUAUUUCCUCUUUCCAGUUGAUAGGGAAAAUUGAAUCCAUGCUGCUGGACUGGAGACUCAAAGGUGGUGCUGCCAUCUCUGACCACAAUAAAUCCACUGUCUCCAAGAUUUAUGGCAUGCAGAAACUGUGGAAGAGAACAAAUAUGCACAGAUGACCAUCAGAGGCAUCAAAACUCUUCUCAAGUUCAAAGAGGGAAAAAAUUUGAAGUCUAUGCAACCUCCAGUACAACAAACUAGUGUCUUAAAGAAUCAUUGGCUUUUUCAUGAUCGCUUUAGGCUGUAAUGUGACAGCCAAACCAAUCCAAUAUGCAAGAGUAGGUCUGAAGAAUUGAACAAACACUAAUCUACCAAAAGGCAUCCAAAGAAAGAAUGAAGAAAAUCAGGAGAUUAAGUGUAGUUAGGCAAACUAAUGGCACAGUGUUCUUUCACUUUUACUCAAGUACAAUAGCAUAACCUUCGCCUUUACAGUUAUUUUCUGCAACCUCCAAUAUUCUAGUGGUCCUCAGAGAGAAUCUCCUUUCUACUCAGAUAUGAGGUUUGGUCUCUUGCAGCAAAAAGUACCAGUGCCAAACCGUCAUCGCCUCCAUCUUAUAGGAAAGAUAAAACAGAAUUUCCCAUCUUUGCCUCCUCUAUGUGCAUGGCUCUGUGCAUGUCUUUUACAAAUAUAACACGAGUCGUCAUCCAUAAACACCACAUAAAUGUACUUCACGGUUUUACGCUUUCUACACUUAGAACAGGAAAAAAAAACACACCAAGAAUGACAUAUUCUGCCUAAAUUUGCCAAAACAUCAGGAUAAUUCCCCUCUAAUGAACCCCAACAAAUACAUUCAUCUACAAAUCACCAAUCAAAAGUGGUCACAUCCAAGUUGAAAAUGUUACUACAGCCAUUUUGUUGCAUGCAAGUUGGAGCAAUAUUUUCAAAAGACGUAGUACAAGAAGAAUAUGUGUGCAUGGACAAAUAUUUUUGGUAUGAAGUUAGUAAGACCUGGUCUUUUAGCACAAUGAUGCAGGCUGUUGAGGAACCCACAGCAUUUGUUUCCGAGUGUGCUUUCUCCAAUACGCGAGCGGGAUCAAUAAACUCCCCGGGCUCAUUUUUAAUAGCAUCCAUCGAGUUAGACAUGAGUUCACAAGCAUAUUCUCCAGCAUUAAUCCCAACCUCCGCCCAACCACCAACUCCAUCUGCCACACCAAUUGCUUGCUCAUCCGAACAGAUGAAAUGAGCAUCCUCUCCACCUGUUUUUUCUUUAUCAGGAUGGGGUAGGUAGCAUGAUCCAGAGUGUAGCUUCAGUGUUCUGUUGCUUAGAGAUCUUCUGGAUUCAGCAGUAGUAGCCAACCAACAUUAAGGAAAAUCACAAUACUAUAUCGCCAAACUUAUUAAUGCUCAAUGCGACUCCCACAAACAUAGAACUGUGCAUCUCUAAUAAACUUAAAUUGAAAAACCCAUUCAGUAGAAAAUUGAAGCAGGAAAUGAUCAUCUUUGACGCAACGACUCACUGCUAAGAUUUAUUUACCUAGUAAGUAAAAAGACAAAAUUCAAGCAAUACCUUGUUUUGAUUAAAAAACGUAAAUAUUUGAUACUCAAACCAGAAUAACGAAUCUCUACAAUAGCCACAAUAUGUGAAUAUGCAAAUCUUUGACUUUUCAACACCAUGACGAAAGACAAUGUUCUUUAGCAAUCAGAGAGAAAGUUUCCCUUUAAAACACGCUAAAAAUCAGAAACCAUACAAAAGAGGAGAAAAAUCCAUUCCAUUUUGAGAAACGAUGGACACCCAAGUUCGACAACUAUGUCUUUUCACAAGUCACCACUUUCAUCGUCCUUGAAUUUCCAUGAGUUAUAUGAGUUGGAAGAAGCAUAAAUAUAAAAAAUCCUGUAAACACUGAGUCGAGGAUCACAUUAUUUUUUUAUUAAGUUCCGGCUUGCUGACAAGCUAAGCUCAACUAAAGAAUUCUCUGUCUGACAGACAAACUGCUAAUGUUGAAGGGUCACCAAAUACGAUCUUGACUGUUGGAAUAUAGGACCUGGAUUAUUGUUGAAUAUCCAAACUAAUUUUAAGGUCAAUACAUCGGGACCAUACACGACUGGCCAUCUGGUUUUAUUUAAUACAACACCUUGGCUAAAUUUGAAGUUAAAUGAACGCACCAAAAAAUCUUCAGGGAACAACUACCUUCUGGAUUAACAAAUGUAUUUAACUAUAAUCAAUUUUGAACCAUUGCACAUAAUAAAGAAACUGCAUACAAGAAAAUUUUUUUGUUUCUAAAUUAACAAAUAGAUGGAAACAACUUGAUAAGACAACACAAAAGGUUAGAGCAUUUACUGGUCUGGUGGUAUGGCAAGACUUGAUAGCUGUUCGUCGAAUGAGGUUCCGUUGCAGAGUACAUCAGAUGCAGCCCCAGUCGAACAACAUGGUGAUGAUGAGGAACUGCAGCUUCUAAACCACGACCCAACAAGGGCAUUCGAGCUGCGACAUUUCCAUCUACCUCCAAGCACAGAAAAAGCACGAUCAGUGCAGCGGCUAUUGGUUACCCCAUUUCUCAAACUCAGACUAGCUUUUUGACAAUUAUCGAGACCUCUAUUGCCAAAAUACAUCACAACAGGUUUAGCAAAACUCGAAACAUUCCCACAACCAGAGAUAAAAGUAUCCAUAACAAGGUCUCCAGGGGCAGCCGUUGAACUAGAAACAGCCAUGGCUCCACUAAAAUUCCCAAAAGCUUGAGAAGACGGGCGCGAUAGAACACCACCACCACCACGUGUCUGAGAAAAUGCCUCAACGGCAGAAUGCUUGGUUCUACUGUAAGUAUAACAAGCCCCAAAUUUCUGACUUCUUUUUACUGUCAAAGAUUCUAUUAACUUGUGGGUUGGUGCUAGUUUCACUCUUAAACCUCUCUGAACCCCAAAACAAAAGGCAGAAUUCGGUUUGGGAAGCAACCCUGAUGACAUAUCCUAUUCCCCCUCAGCUCAACCCAAUUCGUCCAUUAGAUGAACUCCAAACUUAGCAAGUCUGCAUUGUGAGCCAAUCCCCUUUAAUCCUGAGAAACUUCACAUCCUACUCAACGAUAACUUUGCCUGCCCAAGCAGCAAUUUCCUGCUACCUGAUUACAAAAACAAUUGCAUUAUAAAAAGAUUCAUUCGUUUUUCCUUUUCUUCUACUUUCGCAAGAUGAAAAGAAAGAUACAAGGGAAAAAGGAAGGCAUGGGGAACCCGGGAUUUCGGCAAUUCGGGCUUGACUAGGGGCGGAUCGAGAAUGCUGUCUGGGGACAAAAUUAUCGUUGGAGAGAAGAACAGCCGAAGUCCACCGCUUAAUGGGGGCUAAUAUCGCAGUCAGUCUCAAAUUUCUAAGUUUGACGCCCACCAGCCCAAAAAACUGAAAAACGGACAAAAACGAAGCGGUGGCUCAGAAUGAAGCGGAAAUUGGCGUUUGGAUUUAUAUUGGUGAGUUUUUUGGGAAAUAUUAGUGUAGCGUGUACGUAAGAUAAAAAAAAAAAGUAAUUAAAAAAUAGGUAUAUAAAAAUAUUUACAAAAAAUCACAAUCCAAAUAAGGCGUAGUUUUUUAGUCCCUUUUUAAUAAGAAAUCAUGUCAAUUUUGUCCUAUCAAGUUUUAUUUUGAUUAAUGUAUCACAGCAUAGUUUAUAACACUGGAAGAAGAUGACCUUUUAACACUUUGACACUCAUAAAAAUUGAUAGUAAUUUUUGAAAAAAAAAAAAAGAAUUAAGAGGCAGUGUGUGAAUUGUCUAAAAUACAGCAAGUAUAUUAUUAUAGGGACCAGGGAGAGCGCAAAAUUGGAACUAGAGAUGUUAGUGAGCCGAGCUACUCGCGAGUAGCUCGCGAGUAGCUCGGUCAACAACUCGACUCGAACUCGAGUUGUUUCGAGUAGCUCGACUCCACAUCGAGUCGAGUUUCGAGUCUCAUUUUUCGGGCUCGUGGCUCGUCGAGUAGCUCGACGAGCCGCGUUAAAUAUUUAUAAUUUAAAUAAUAUAUAUUUAUUAUAAUUAUAAAAUGACUAUUAUGGAUAUAGAUUUUAUAGAAUUUACAAUAUACCCUUCUUUAUAAUAAAAUCCUAUAAUGGCAAAAAAAUAAUAACAUAAUUAUAAAAAACACUAAAAAGAAAAAAUGUCUACAAAAAAAAGGAAGAAAAGACUUUCUUCCUUCUCUGUGCGACUUUCUUCUCCGUUCGAAGAAAGCCUAGCAAAAAAAUUCACUUUACCAGCCGGCAGCCACUGACUCUGACUGAUUUAGAUCUACACCCUCACUCCGUUCGUCGCCGACGCCGUUGCUCGCCGCAUCUGUGAGACUCCAUCUCCAUCGCCAUCGCCAUCGCCAUCGCCAUCGCCUUAACAAGUCCCAAGUCCCAAGUCCGAAAUCGAAGCUGCUCUCUGCCUCUCCGGCCUCCGCCAGUCCGCCGCGCUCUACGUCUCCUGUCGGCUGUGUCCUGCCGUGCUGGUUCAUCGCUGCCGAGUGUCGAAGACGAAGCACCAAGAUCUCACUAGUUCAUCGCUGGUUCAUCACUGCUCAUCUCUGGCUCACUUAGGUAAGUGCUCCUCUGUUUUUGGCUCUGUGUCUCUGGCAUUAAAAUGGGCCAAGAUCGACUAGGAAACUUGUUAUCCUGAAUUGAUAAGGGGACGAAAUCUCUCAGAGACCCAGAGAUUUCAAUCCAUCUGCCAUUAUCCUAUUACUCUCGGCCAAAAAAAAUAAAAAAAUAAAAAAAAGAACCGACGGGAAACAGAGGAGGAGCAGCCGCCACUGCUGGGUCGUCGGAGUUUGCCCAUACCGCCACGGUUAUCCAAUUCUUCAUUUAAAACGCCCCGUGAGCUAUUCUUUGCUUUCCAACUUGAAUUUCAAUUUGAUAUUUUCUGGAACCAUCUUUUGCUAGUUUCUUCUUGAAUUUUUUUAAUCUGGAGUUAUUUACAAUUUUCAUGGCUGAGUAUACUCUUUGGCCUUUGUUGGACCGAAAUCGUAUUUUGAUUACAAGUUUUGGGUCUUUCUUUCGUUGGAAUUUGAUGGGAUCUUUAGAAUUUUCGUAUGCCCUUCUACUGUUUGAAGAAAUGCCUAAACGAGAACUUGAAAUAAAGAGACAAAUCUCUUGUAUCUGUGCUCGUGGGGAGCAGCUCCUAUCAGUCCAACGCUGAUAGGAGCCCGUGGGUUCGGCGGAAAUCCAUCAAAGACCCAGAGAUUUGCUAGUAAUAGUAUACGUCAUAUGAGGCAUCUGCGGAUUUCUAAGUAUUUCAAUUCUGUGGGCGCUCAAGAAGCGCCAAAUACCUGAUGCAGAUUUAGGAAUCGUGCAAUAUUUAUGUAAAUAAUUUUAAUUUGUGCUCUUAAAAAAAUCAGACUUAGGAUAAUGGUGUGCAAAAAUAUAGCUAAGACUGACUUCAAAAUCCUUUGUGUUAUGAUUUGACCAACUAGGUGUGAUGAAUUUGCCCAAAUUCGGAUUUGAGCAACCUCACAUGCUUGUUUGAGAUAAUUGUUUGUCUCUCAAUUUGGUGGCUCAGCUCAUGUUUUGCUGAGUUUUGAAAUUUUGUGGGGAAUUUUGGUUAGUUUGGGUACUUUUGCAGCACACUUAGGAACUAUGAUUCGAGGAAUUAGAAUCAUCCAUAUUUUCUGCUCUUGUGGGCACCUACCGUUGGUGGGUAAUUGCUGAAUUUGAAAGUUUCAUGUCAAGCAAUCCAGCAAGUGGGAAUUUCCCUUUUUUCUUCUCUAUUCUUCUUUGUGGUGAAUCUGAUUUUUAGGGGUGUUAAAGAUGCUAACUGUGGGAGGUAGAAUGUGGAUACUUUUGGUUGUAUUUGUAUUGAUGAAUCAUGGAUUUUAUGCCUCAUUUACUCCAGCUGAUAGCUACUUGCUUGCCUUUGAAUCUUCCCAAAACGUCACCUUUGAUCUGGUUUUUUGGUCAAAUCGAGUCAAAAAGCUUGAUAAGACUCGACUUGAUAAGGCUCGAUUAAAGAUCGAGCCUUAUCGAGUCGAGUCUCGAGCCUAAAUGAAAUUCUUCGAGUCGAUCUUCGAGUAUCGAUUUUCGGGCUCGAUCGAGCUCGAGUCGAGCUCGAGCUUCUGUGUGUAUGAGUCGAGUCGAGCUCGAGUAUAGCGAUACUCGAGCUCGACUUGACUCGAUUACAUCCCUAAUUGGAACACAAACGUGCAUUAUUAAUCCCCUGCUUGCAAAAUUGUCUUUUUGUUGUUCAUCCACAAUUCCCGACUUUUGUGUCCCCCAACCCAACUUUUGGACGACAUUAGGGGCUUAUUUGUGCAUGCAAAACUCGUGCACCAAGAUGCUAUCACUGUGCAAUAUAACAACAGGCCCUGUGACCUGUAACGCAAUUCCAAUUGUUUGAUCCUGCACCAGCGUGAUUGUGUGUUUUAACAGUAGUGCCGUUUGUAUUGUGAUUUUUAAAAAUUUUUAUAAAGAAAAAUAUUGUAACGAUUGGAUUUAAUAUAUAUGACUUAAAAUAAUAAUUAAAAAAUAUUAUAUAUAUAUAUAUUUUUUUUUUCUGUAAAAAAUCACAAUUCAAGCAAGGGCGCUUGACGUUUACAGUAAAACGUAAAAGUUUUACCGUGGAUGUACGAGAUAAAUGUUUUUUACACGCCACGUCGUGUUAGAAGCACGAAGAAGCGGAGGCUUUGGCUUGCCAUGAAUUGUUCGCAUGGAGUAGAGUAGAGUGGGUGACACGUUCCCUAUACUAUAGAGGCCGUGCUACUUGGCACGGAAUUCUGGAAUAAGUACAAAAGUUAAACCCCACUUUACUGCUCUGUGAAGGCCAAUAAUGUCUCUCACUCAUCCUGAUUACUCCUUUUACUCAAUCCGUCUGCUCUGCACAAAAACAACCACAAAAUUACCAUAUUUGUUUUAAUCAGGGCCCCCAUUUCUAUUUCACCGUUCCUAGCUAGAGCGGUUAAUCGAACCGAAUAGCUCGCGAGCCAAGUUCGAUCCGAUUCGAUAAGGGGUUCAACUCAGUUAGUUUAAUGAGAGAAAGGAGCCGAUCUCGAAUUCAACUUUACGCUUAUUUAAUAGAUGAGCCGAGUUAUGCUCGACUCGUUUAGGCUCGAAUGGUAAGAUCAUUUCAUUGUGUAUUUGAUAUUUUUACCUAAUUCAUUCUCUCAUUUCUAGUCCUACUUUUUUCUUUCCUCUUUCGGUCUUGCCCCUAAUAUUCAUCUCCCAAACGAGCUUGAGCUUAAUAAACUCGGCUCGAUUUUGAACUCGAGUUCGACUCGUUUGAACUUAAUAAACUCGGCUCAAUUUUAAAUUCGAGUUCGAGGUCGAACUCGAGUUUUCGAUCGAGUAUACCGAGUCGAUCUCGAACAGCUUGUGAAACUUGAAUUACUAAUCGAGCAAACUCGAACUAGCUCAAUUAGAGAUUCGAGUCAAACUCGAUUAUCGUGUGCUCGAAUUUGACUCGAUUAACAGCUCUACUCCUAGCUAUCUCUUACGUUUUUUUUUUUUUUACACCCGAUCCACAAGAAGACUAUAUAGUGUUGAGUCAAAAUAGUUAUCCGUCCUACAAAUGAGAUACUAGUUCAAGCUUGGAGUGCAGAAGCAAUUUCUUAUUCGUAGUCUCUAGCAAGUAAUGGAAAUAUGUUGAUGCUUCCACCCCCAAUGUACAAAAAUAAUUACUCCCCGGUUUUCUGGUUGAACCGUGUAGAAGAAAAAAUUAUUGGAGCUCAUGGGUAUGAUGUCAUAAAUAAACCAGUAGUAAUUAAUCUAAUCUGAUCUUGGAUUAUCAGUAACCGUACCGAAUACUGGACUAUUCACCAACAUUGUGGCCGAUUGCUUUUACUCCUAUCUUCUACUAUUAUACUCACAAAAGUGCCACCAUUUUAACAUCAUCUUACAUAUAUAAUCAAAAGUGUUUAAAAGGUCUCAGGACCUUUGGCUACUUAUAUUUCACGGAAAGGGUCUCUUCAACCUUGACAGGCAGCAGAACAAAUAUUAAAACCGACUCACUCUCACUGCCUAUACUGUAAUGCUUAAUUUUUUAAGGAGCAUCGCCGGGCCAAGAGUCGCUAUUUGCUGCUGCAAGACUAAUUGAUAAUAAAGCUCGAUGCCACCUCACAAAUCACACUUCCGAAAUGUCAACUAUGAAAGCCUUGACUUUCAUGAAAACAAAUGUUCUAAUUGUUGUCAUGAUCCCCUUCCCAUAUCUUUACCAGAGUACUCGCCGCUGCCACCAAAUGUUGCCGCUGCAGCAGCAGCAACAUCAAGGCCGCCACCAAUUGAUGUCAUUAAGGCAGAAAAUCCGCCUGAUGGGCCUCCACCAGCUGCCAUCCCCAAUCCAAGAAGGUCAAGGGUAGUAUGCUUGGGACCGAAUACAGAUGGAGUCCCCAACAUCAGUUCCUUCAAGCUAGACCCACCGUCACAUGGCAGCCCAAGUCCCAGGCCUGCUGCCAAUGAUGCACUAUCAGACUCAAUUCCCCUCCCACUCCACUCCUGCUGCCCGCUGGAAGCUGACGCCGAAGAAACAAUCCCGAACCCUCUCAGGAGUGAAGCAUUAGUUGCUGCUGCUCCAAUCUGAGCAGCUUUUUGCAGUAAUGCUGUUGCAGACAUGGCAGGUUGUGGUGCAGGCGCAUACUGCCUACGCUCUUGCCCUGCUGUUCCAAAAAUUGAUGAACCGUGACUUGUAGCAAGACAGAGGGAUAUGGGUUCCGUGGAAGAAGACGCUACGACUUCAGAUGCAUUCUCAGGACGAGCCACAGCUCUAAACAAGUCAGUAAAUUCAGGUGUUUGAGAUUGCAAGCUUGCCGAUGUUGUUGAUGAGGCAAAUAAGCUUGCAAACACGCUGCUGCUAGUACUUCCAUGACUGCUUGAGCUGCUGCUGCUACCACAGCUGCCGGUUAAGCUGGUCACAACAGAUGUUUCCUCUAGAAUCUGAGGUGGAGCGGGACUUUGCUUGGGAUUUUCAGGUCCCUCUGUUGAAUUAAACAAAUCAUAUAAAAAGAAUGAGCGAAAAAAAAAAAAGAGCAUUCCCUGGUAAAGAAGCAAGAAAUGACGAAAGUAUAACCUUUCUUAUUAAAGAGCUUUGUAUAUGAUUAAAAGAGAUUCAAUAAUACCCUCCUUUCUCGGCAUCAACUUAACUUUUAGCUUUUGGCUGGAUCUCUGUCCAUUCUUUACCAAAAGAUUGCUUAGAUUCAAUCUCAAUUUUUUAUUCAUAGUUGAGAUAUGGUUUUCCCCAAUUGAAGUUAGUAGUAGUUCAUCCUUGUUCUUAUAGCAAGGGAGUAAAUCUAGUCAACCAUAGAUGCAGAUAACAACAAAGAAGGGGAACAGACAAAAACAACUAGACUCCAAGAUUAAUAGACAAAGAAACAACAACAACAGUUUGCUUUUCUUUUCUUUUUUCCCGGCAAAAGUAUGAUAUACAUCCGACAAAACCCGGACUACAGAGCUACAUAACUACCCAUCAUCAGCAGUAGGUGGAGGAGGCUGAGCUACAAAUUGGCAGUUUCGAGCAGAAAUACCUGGAUUUUGAACAGGCAAAGCUGAAGAUACUAAAGCAGCUGGUGGAGGAGGCUGAACUGCUACCGAAGGUGGUGGUGAUGAGGAUGCAAGUGUUUGAAGCUUCGGCUCCUCAUCAUCAGCAGUAGGAGCUGGAAGUGCCUCAACUGUCUGUGCUUUUGCACUCUCCUCAGCUAAUGCAUCACAAAAAGCUCUGUGUGUAAUAAAGCUAUCCCUCCUGCAAUCAUCAAACAGACAUUAACAUCAUUCUUGAAAAUAAAAAGAAAAACAGAGGGAAAAAUUUAUCUUAACAAGGUAGGGAAAAGAUCAGUUAACCUUGAAAACAGAGUCCCACAAUCACAUUUAUAUUCUCUAGUUCCACAAAUCUUUGAAUGAGCUUUCCAAUCAGACUGAACAGCAUAUUUCUUCGAACACUUGUCGCAUUUCCACUUCUUUUCGCCAUGUUUUCUGCAGAAAUGCUUCUUAAUUCCGGUCAAAUCGCCCAAUGCUCGAGAAGGAUCGUGGUGAACACAGGUGAGUUCAGGGCAUACAUAAACUCUCUUCUUGACCUCUUUGCUCGAUCUCUGCCUAAGUUUCCAAGGCAAAUUAUGUCCUCUCCGAUGCAGCUGCAAAUUCUGGUCCCUUUGGAACCCUUUAUUGCAAAUUUCGCACACAAAUCUAUUUGUUGCCAACAGAGUCUUUGGUGACAAAGCAAUCACCUCUGCAUCCGGAUCUAAGAGAAAAACAAAAUGAAACUUCAGCAAUAAGCAAAAACAGAUUACCAGUCUUUUUAUGUUUUCCUUUCUGGCUCUUUUACCUGGCAUGCCUGGGAGAUUUCGUUUUUUCUUGGCAGAUGAUGUAGGAGGGGCUGCCGCUUGAUUGCCUGAAGAAGAAGCACUGGCAUCACCGGAAGCGGUAGAAUCAUUCAUGACAGAAGAGUUAUCCAUAUCGGCAGGCAUGGAAAGAGUACUGGAGUUGUUAAAAGGGAUUUUUAGACUGCUAGAAAGGGAAAUUUUGGGGCAUUUAUGCUGCAAAAAAACUUUUAGGAUAUAAAGCUCCUUUUUCGUUUCUACGGCUUAUGGUCACAGCACUCAGCUCUCAGACUUGUGUAUCUAUCCACCAGUCAAUCUAAUUUAAAAAAAAAAAAAUAUAUCGCCAACUACCAACUACGAUCAACUUUUGACCACGACCAGAUCAGAAAUGAGCUAAUUAGCAAAUCCCACUUCACAGAACCACCACCUGUAAGCUCUGCAGAUAACGGAAUCAGAGUCGCCAGAGAAUUAUCGCCGGUGAGCACGACAUGAGUAUCUUCAGCUAAAAGAAGAUGAAAUUUUGCUAUACUUCAUGAGGUUUCUAGAACAUGGACCUUAAAUCUAGGUAGCUGUUCACCUGUCUAAUAACCAGAAAACAUUUCAGCACCGAGCUUCUUGAAUUUCCGGUGACGUUUUCUCCGAUGCAAAUGCCGGAAAUUGGGCUGGGGAGCAGUACUUUCAAGAAGACGGCUCAGAAAACUAGAUGAAAGAGGAAAUUUAGGAGGGCAGAGAGAGAGAGAGAAGAAGAUGUGAAAGUCUUCUUGUGUUUGGUCUACAGUCGUGUAAUGUUUAGAUCAUAGAACAGGUAGCCGAUGUGGAUUUGAUUAAAGAAGAGCUAAUAAAUUAAUUAGAAAUCAUCAACAGUAAAUGGGGAGAAGGGCGAAAGAUAAUGACGGGUUAAGUUUUGUGGCUCACUUUUUAACCACGGUUUCAUUGUUGACCUGACCAUACGGUGUGGUAGAGUUUCAGUUAAAAACAGAAGAGUUUAAUGAUGGUGCAGAGUGCAGACUGCAACUCUGCUAGUGCUGCUCAAAAUGUUUUCGACGUGGGAUUGGGACACGUACGUUUAGCUUUCGAUAAAAAUUAGUGAUUAUUGUAGUGUUUUUUCAGAAAAAAAAAAAGAAAGCUAUAAUAAUAUAUUUCAGAAAUAUUUUAUUAGUGUAGUUUACAGAAAUAAUAAUAAUUAUAUUAGUGUAUAUUAAAUUAUGCAAAAACGUAUGGUAACCUUACAGUCAACCGCACCGAAACUUCAACCGCAUGUGUCUAGACCCUUUUGAUUUUUCUUGCCAUGGCCUUUACAAUUUUGACUUUCAAUUAUAAAUUUCUGCACAAUUUUAUUUUGUGAUAUAUAUAAUUUGUAUUAAAUUUUUAAAAUAAAUUUUGGUAAUUGUUUGUUUCAAUUAGGCUUUACGGUGUAUAUUCAAAGACUCUCGUUUAUUUAUUAAAAUUUAUUUACUUACAACAUCAAUACGUUUCUCAAUCAUUUUUUUUUAUCAAUGCAUUUUUUUAUGUACGAUGAAUAUAAAUGCAUUGUGGUCUCUAAGUUGUAGAGCGAGCAAAAGGGUUUUAUGCAGUAGCAAUUAUGUGCAAUUUGCACCGUUGAGUGCAACCUAUUGUUGAUUAAGAAAUCAGGACAUGUGUCAUAAGUAAUCAUCCCAUCCUCUUACUGAUUUAUGCCCUGCGUCCAGUCUCCAUUUCACACAUCCCCUGUAGCACCAAACGAACACAUGAACCUGGCUCUCUAAUUCCAUCUCGUAAUAAGUACUAAUAAGUUGCUUUAUUAAGACUAAUCGUCUAAUCAUCAUUCACCCUGGAGGUUUUUUUCCCGGUGAAAAAUGCCUUAUCCCACAAGAAAAGCAUCGAUAUCAUUGUUAGACUUUUGAUGAGUGAGACCGUCUUUCAUUCUUUUGCUGCUCAUAUUCUCUCCGUCAAUGCCAAGCUCUUCUAUCUAUAGUGAUAACAUCACGUUCUUUUCUUUAUAUUCUCUCUUCUUCUUUGUUUUUUUUGGUCCUUUAUUUUUCUUUUCCAUGACUUGCACAAGAGAAAAACCGAGCGGGAGAUGGAAUAGGCUGUGGGAAUCAAAUACCGGUUUGGAGAUCAGAGAAAUAAAACUCUCGCCCAUUGGGCAAUGCGUAGUUCUCUACUAUUUGUGAAUUUACCUGAGCAACGAAUACAAUUCACAAGAAGCAAGAUUAUGAAUUUAGCUGAAAUGAUGCACAAACAGGCCGCCCGCAUAUUUCAUGAAUUAUAGCUAAGCAUAAUCAUCACGUCAUGUUUGAUAGAGAAGAGUUAUUUCACUCAACUUACAAAAACAGAGAUUUUGUCGGAGAGAGAUUGACCAGUUUUUCGUGUUUACUAAACAGAAAACUAAUAAUACUCCUAGCAGAGAUGAAAAGCAAAGGCUAUACAUAGUCUGUCAAUCGAACCUAAUGAGCCGGGCUUUUAUAAACUCUAAGCUCAGCUCAUUUUAUUUGAAAUAUUUUCGAGUUUUCGGUUCAUAAAUGUGAAAUUCAUACUCAACUCGCAUAAUAUUCGGAUUGUGAGUCUUAAUCGGGUUUAGUCAAACCUCACUUAUUACUCCUUAAUUUUCUUAAUAUAAUUACUAUAACUAUUAAAUUGUAAAACUAAUUUAACAUUUACAAGACUAUAAUAUUAAAACUAAACAUGAACAAAUAAUAAUAUUUCUUAAAAAGUGUAUAAACCAAAUUUUUCAACAAUAUUUAUAUUUAAUUCGUUCAGAAUGCAUGAAAAAUAGUAAUUAAACAAUCAAUCAUAAGUCAAUACAUAUUUAAAAGUUGAAACUUUUUUUAUAAUCUUGUGAUUUAAAUCCAAAUAUGCUUGAUGAUUUGUGUUUGUAGACCAAAAAGAAAUCAACCAAUAUUAUGUCAACACAAAAAUUUACUCAAACCAAUAAGAAAAGUUAGAGAUUUAGUUAUGCAUUACUAAUAUUGGUUCUUAAGAAAGCUCCUGGAAGAGUUUUUAGAUUUAUUUUUGUGUUUUGUAAUUUAUAUAUAUUUAGUAUUUAGUAAUAAUAUAUUUGAAUAUAUAAUUAUACAUAAUAUUAAAAUAUAAAUAUUAUAUAUAUAUAGGUAAUUAAAGGGACGGGCCUAUAUCGGGUUUGAACCUAAUAUAGCACAAACUUGGCUCAUAUUUAAUUCGGACCUAAUUUUUUAGGCUCAAGCUCAGACUAAUUCACUAAAAUGUCGGGUUCAUCGGGUUUUUUGUUGGGCCAAAUUCGAGUUGACCCAACCCCAUUAAAACAGUCCUAGCUAUACACUUUUAACAGAAGUGUUUUUUGAGUUGAGAAUCGAAAAUAGAUCUAACGAAGUUCAAUUAAGAAACAUUAGGGUCCAAUUAUUGUUUGGAUAUUGGUUUUUCCCAUAAAAUUGUUUACCUUUUUUGUGAAUACAUCUCUCAAUCACUUUUUUAUUUUACAUAUAUCAAAUUAUUGCAAUACAAUUUUUUUAAAAAAUUAUAAAAAUAGCAAUCCAAACGGGAGGGCGGCCCCAUAGUUUUAGUACAAUUAUCAAUUAUACUAAAGUACACUUUCAAUAAUUAUGCCAAAAGAUAGUAAAAAAUAUAUGUAUAGUGAUCUUUUUGUUCCUUUACUUAUUGUUCUUAAUAAAAGAAUUGAAAUCAUUGUCAAAAAAGAUGAGGGACGAUCAUAUAAAUUUGAGUGACCUAACACUCUAGUUCAAUUAAAAUUUAACUAAGCAUACUCUUAGUAGUGCUAAUGGUAUCAUAUACCACGUUUUGAUACUUUACCUGUAAGUCUUUCUUGCCUUCAUUCAGCUACCUGGGCUAAAACAUCGUCUAGCUAAUAUCGACCGGGUCUUUGCGUUCACAUCACUAGCAUUGCUUGAUGCAACUGGUAGCUAAGUUCCAUCGAUUUGAAUCGGACCGUGACCGACCUUAUCCUUUUCUUGUCGGGCAAAAAGAUGUUGAAAAUAACGCCAGAGGAAUCGUACCUUAUUUGUGCUACUUUGUUUAGCAUUUAGGAAAAAUAGGUUAAAAUGUUUUCCACAUUUCACCAAUUAAAUUUUUUUACGUAUCCUACAAAAUCAAGUUGAUAAAAUGUAAUUACAACUUAAAUUUCGACUACUUUUUUAUCACCAAAUCCAUCAUGUGACUCACACAACAUAUGGUCUUAUUGUUUUAGGAAUAACAAAAGGUUAGAUCCUAUUUGUAGUUAAACAAAUGAUUUGAUUCAUAUUCAUUUUUAUUUCUAAAAAAAUUAGGAUCCAACAUGGAUCAUAUUCAUUUUUUCCCUAAAAAAGGGAUGUGAUUCAAUCCAUAUUGACUUUUGCCAUUAAAAAAAAGUAGGAUGUUAUCACAUUGUAUAUAAAAAAAUAACUGCAUGUAGGUCGCAUGAUGAUUUUAGACUAAAAAGUGAUAAAAAAAACUUAGGUUGGGAUCUAAUUUUGCUAACUUGAAUUCGUAAGAGACGUAAAGUUAAUAUUUUAAAUGUAAAGAAUGAAAAAAUUAAUGUAAUAAAAUAUAAGGGAUGUUUUGAAUAAAUUUUCCUAGCAUUUUCUUAUACUAAAUUUGCUUCAUCAAACCAAAAUAAGCUAGAAUUAGAGAAAUGAAGACCAACGACUGUGUAUAAAGAUGUGGCUCAAAAAAAAAAGGGAAGAGCUUGCUGCUUGUCAUCCGGAAAUAAGUUAGGUAUAAUUUUGCCGAGUUUAUUUUUGGAUUUUUGCUGUCAUUUCCACCUGAAAUCCCUACCACCAACUAGGGUUGCAAACGAAUCGAGCCGCUCGCGAGUCGAGUUCGAUAUUAAUCGAGCUCGAACUCGAGCUCAGAAUAUUAAGCUCGUUAGCUCGCGAGCUUGAGUAUAUAUAUAUAUAUAUUUUUUUUUAUUUUUAUUUAAUAAUAAAAUUACGUAUAUUAUAUAUAUAUAUAUUUUUAUUUUUUAUUUUCAUAGUGAAAUUACGGAUAUAUUCUUAAUAUUUUAUUAUUUAUUCAGAAAAAAUAUUAUUUUAUUUAUUUUUUUUAAAAUAAAAUAAUUUUUUAUAUUUUUUUCGAGCUCGAGCUCGAGCUCGGCUCGACUUGAUUCGAGUCGAGCUUGAGCUCGAAAAUUGCCAGCUCGUCGAGCUCGAGCUCGAGUUUGGUAAAAUUUAGUCGAGACUCGGCUCGAUUAGCUCAAAACUCGACUCGGUUCGGCUCGUUUGCAGCCCUACCACCAACAACCGUAAAUAAACGCGCACACAUACACUAUCUAAGGGAAACGUACAACUCAACUCAAAAGGCAUGUUGACUUUCAGGCCACACUGAGAACCUUAAGUAGUACAUACACACACCACUCACAAUCGAUGUGGAAUAGAGGAAAAGGAGGAGGAGAAACACCACGACUAUUGCCCAAAGGCUCACUUCAAAAUGUGUUUUUGUACCAUUCUUGAUGUCUGUGUUGAAUUUCAAAAUUCAGAAUGACAAGUUUUUCCCACCUGAAAUCCCUGCCACAAAAUGUGUUUUUCUACUUUUUCCUGAUGCCUAAGUUGAAUUUCAAAAUUCAGGAUGACAAAAAAUUUGUUUUUUUUUUGAUGUCGUAAAAUUGGUUGAAAUUAAGGCCAAGCCUGUUACUGAUUGCUGUUUUGAGGAUACAGUCUAGCUAUUAAUGGUUACAAUUUACAUCUACUAAUCAUUUUCCGAUAACUGGUUUACAUUUUGCCUUACGUUUAUAUAUUUUAUUUCUUCGUUAGUACGUAUUAUUUAGAAGUUCAAAACAUCUACAGUAAAGCUACUUGUAGUGCUUGAUUGUCAUCAUUGUCCAUUACAUUUCCAAUUUUCUUCUAAUUUGACAUUUCGAACAUUCGGCCAAAAAAAAAAAAAAAAAUCACCCUUGAUGUUCUAAUCACUUAUGUCUAUUGUCUAAUUUUUAUUAACAUAUUAAACAACCGUUCUUUUUUUUUUUUUUAAUAAAGAAGAUCAACAGUCCAGCAACAAGGCGUCAAGAUAGAAGAUGGCAACGAUACGAGGUCCGGCGAACUUUGCAACUUUAUAAGACUAGUACAAUAGAGACCUUUUGCUGUUGUUUCAUUGUGAUUCUUUUGCUGAGUUAAUUUGAUGUUUUAGUUUCCUUAACCAAGAUGGCAUGCCAGUAAUUGAUUUGACUUGACAUUCAAUAAAAGGGGUUGGCUGAUCUCAAAAGCUUCAAGGCUUAGAAAGUUUACUUUUAGUUUCAAAGGAUGGAGGACCACCUCAAUAAUCACGAUGCUUCUUCUUCUUUUUCUUUUUUUUUUUUUUUUUUAUAAAUAUAUGUACGUAUAUAAAGUUUUAGCCUCCCAAAAUAAAGAGAAAAGGAUCCCGGCAUACUUUCUUUUUGUUACCUGGAGCCUGGAGGAUAUGCCUGCAGUAGCAUUUCGGCUAUGCAAAAAAGUCAAUGACAAUUCAAGAAAAAAAAAAAGUGCAAUUGCGAAUAUAGGAAUGAUGCAGAUAAUUGAACAUAUGGCAUUUGUUCUAUUCCAGGAUGACAAAGAUCUUUAGGUCCCAAGAAUUUAGAAAUUACACUUCAUUUCCUUAAAGUAUUAAAGAGUUUUAUUUACUAUAUAUUUGUAAAAAAAAAAAAAAAAAAAAGAUUUUGUGCCUGAAAAGCAUCCUAAUUAUCAGAGUUGAAGGAUGGAGUCCUAAUAAACUAAUUAUUAUUAUUAUUAUUAAAAUCAAGAGUAAAGUUAUAAACACGGUAGAGAAGAGAGUUGCAGGUUUUAGACUCGUGGUGGUCAAGAUGAGAAAGAAAUGCAAAAAGGAACGCGCUGUGCCGUCAAAAUUCAAAAUUAAAAGAAAGGACAAAUGAUCGAGUUUGAAGUACAAAAGCCAAAGUCUACUGUAGCGUAGUUUCUUAUUAUUAUUUUUUUUUUAUAAUAAAAAUAAGAAACAAAAACGUACGAGUGCUUUAUAGUAAUAAUAUUGCAAAACGCAGUACUGUAAAAAGUUUCCUGAUUUCACUUCAGAAAGGGUGCACGUUCUCCGACGUGUCUCAGAAAAUUUUUUUUUUUUUUUUUGGUUGUUGUUGUUGUUAGCAACUUAGCAUCAACUAGUUUCCAUGCUGCUACUAUCAUACAAUGUUUGCUUUCCAUAUUUAUCAUGAAGAAAUACGUAGCAAGUAAGAAAAUCACCGGCGACUCUCUCUAUGGAACACAAGAAAAAAAAAGCAAUUUCUCAUACUUUCUCUUCUCUUAUCUCCAUUUCCUACCACCCAAACGCUCCGAGGCCUAUGGUAAAAUAAAACCAAAAAGAGUAUAAUAAACUAGAGAGCGAAAUCAUCAUCAUUUAGUAUAGGACUCUAUGCCAUGGUAACACCCACAAAGCCGGCACAAGACUUCUCUCAACAUCCACAUAAUUAAUUGCAUUGACUUGGAACGCAAUUGCUUUACCCUUUUUUUCUUUCUUCCUUCUCUCUUUAAAAGAAUUUGUCAUAUAUAUAUCAAACUUGUUAUCAUGCUGGACAGAAAUGAUGGCCUAGCCAAGUUGGAUUUCUAGUGCAGCAAGGCACUCGUUCUCUUUAUUCAAAACUCAAAAUAGGAGGAGAGAGUAUCGCAGGGAACCCUUUUCCUUUUAACUCUCCCAGGAGAGUAUCAUAUGGAAUGGAACGCCGAUCUUCGACUGAAGGCCAAUUCAUUCCAAAAAAAAAAAAAAAAAAAAAUUUUUUUUUCCCUUAAAAAAAAAAAUAUUUAAUAAAAGCUUUUGGGGUGGGUAGGAGAUGAUAGGUUGGUCUCAAUCGAUGAGAGGGGUCGAUCACAUUAACCACCACGCCACACCAGCUGAACAAUUUCUGAGCAGAACACAUGCAUUCAAUGCAUGGACAGGCGGGGCGUCUGGCAGUUGACCAGGGAUGCUGCAGCAGCAGCUUGCAAUGCAAUGCACGACUCCUUCAGUCGCCAUGCCAUGUACGGGACACGGGACAUGACGAUGCCGAAGCCCUUACCUGCGCGAGGCAAUUCAAAUUUCAAGUUUGAUGAUGAUGAUUAAUUUCCCAUGGACAAGUUUGAUUUUUUUGCUUCUACAAUGACAGAUCGCAGAUUUUAUUUAAUGUUUUGCUUUUCCAUCCUGUCCGUACUUUACUCUCUGCCCCUAUCACACUCAUUUUAACGCCGAGGAAGAUUACUUACGCAUGAUUAUAUUAGGAACCAAGAGGAAGAAGAGUGAAGGAGUUGGGACGUUUAGCUUAAUUAAAUCCUUAUGCAACGUAUGGAGUUCUUGUUAUAACACCCAUCUACAAGGUGGUUACAAAUUAAAUGAAGUUGCACUACUUUCCCCCGGCUAAUUUCUCAGAUUAUUUGUAUUUAAAAAAAACAUCCGCCAAAUGCACCUCUGACAUGGGUUUUUCUAAUUGUAUAGCGUCAGCACGGCCGCAUAACUAAAAAUUCCACCCAGAUCUUCUCUGCAAAAAAAUUCAAUGAUGCACAGUCGGUGUCAGAGGGGACGGGCUGACUGGGCACGUCCCCGGCUGACAGAAAACUGACUCCGUCUGCGUAUGAGUCAGAGGGAAAAAAGCAAAACUUGCAUUAUUCCAUCCGGGAAAAAAAAAGGAAAAGAUAAGGAAAGGAGCAAGUGAGCUCCAUUGAUCGAAAAGAGAUUCCCCUGCAGCUUUUUUGUGCUAAUGGUGCAGGCGAACCCCAACUACAGCCAGCAAAAGUUUUUAAUUAAAAAAAGAAAUUUAAGCUGGCUGCCGGCUUGCAAGUUUUUUUCUUUUUUUUUUUUUUAAAGUUAAGUUGCAGGUUGUCAGCCGACUAAACAUUGUUAAGUACUUUUAAGUACUAUUAUAUUUAUUUUUACCUUUAUUCUUUUAACAACCCACUACCAAAUAAUAAUUUAUUUGUAUAUUUUAUUUAGAUAUAUAUCAAUUUUCUAUAUAUUUUAUAAAAAAAUAUAAAACCAAAUUUUAUACAUAAUAAUUUCAACGAUUAUUUUUCAAACAUUUGGAAAAUGCAUAUUCUUGUAAAUUGAAUGACAUUUUUUUAUCUAAAAACUUUUUUUAGGGAUAAAAAUAAUUAAUUUAGCAAAUUUAUCUUGACCUUUUUCAUACGUUUGAGCUUAACAAAAAAUUAACCACAAAGGCUACCGAUAGCAUAAGUUUUUAUUUUUUUUUUAAAGUAAGCUACAGGCUGCAGGGCUCAAACCUUAAAAAAAAAAAAAAAGAAUUCUCUUGUCUACCGGACUGACUCAGCCCGGUAGGCAUAGUUUUCUACUGCCAAAUUGUCAGAACAACAUUGUUCCGACCUUUUUUUUUUGGGCAAUAAUCAGAGCAAUUAGCCCAGUUUCAAUUAUCAAAAUUAAAAAGCAAGAUAGGCUUUCAAAGUUGAAAUUUUGAUACAAAAAUGCACAUGUAUCUUAGAAAAUUUAGUCUUUACUUUUGUAAUAAAUAUGAUGACUUUUAUUUUAUAUGGUUGUGCAUUUGUUUAUUUAAUUAUAAAGGGUAACUAAUUGCUUGAAAAUGUUAUUAUGUUGAAUAUGCUAGAUAUUUUGGAGAAGUUUAUUACAGUUCUUCUCUAAAGAUAGAAGAUUGUGCAGCGUUUCUUUCUCAUGCCAUUUUAGAAGGAAUUUUUUCUUUUUUUUUUGGUUUGUUUACAAAGUUUAAUAGAUGGCAUAUUUGGCUUACAAUAUCAAAUUGGAUUUUUAUGCUACUAGAAACAGGUAAAGAGAGGGUGUAACUUGAAAUUGGAGAGGAACUUUCUGCAAUUGUCAUAGAUCUUGAAAGAAGUUCGUGAAAUUAUCCAUAUUCUUUUUCAUAAUUGGGCUGAAUCAAUCGUAAUCAAUUAAGUAUCCCUUAGUGUGGGCUGGUAGGAAAAUUUGGCGUGAAUGAAAGGUUUGCAAUUUUGAUGCGCUUUUAGUAUUGCCCACCAGGCAGUAUACCACUCGAAAUGGAAAAAUAAAUUGGGGGACGUGCCCAAUCAGCACGUCCCCUCUGACACAUGAGCAGACUCUGUCGGAUUUCUUUCAGGCGGGGACGUGCCCAGUCAGCACGUCCCCUCUGACUCAUACACAGACGAGUCAGUUUUCUGUCAGCCGGGGACGUGCCCAGUCAGCAGGAAUGAGAACUCCGACAUGCGCAGGAAUGACUUCCAACUACUGACUGCAAAUUUACGAAGUAGCAAGGAAUGAAAAGGACACAACAGUCGGUGACUGCUAUUCAUGCACAGACCUUAACACCCAGGUGCAUCUCACCGUGCAACACCCAGUUUUAGACUACCACUGUUACCGAAGACUACCGCAAUAUUUUGUAUACCAGAAGUGAACAAUUCAUCGUGCGAAUUUAUGAAGGGGUGGCCCAAUUGUAAGGUGAUCAUCCGACCAGCAACCACUGUUAGGUCCAAAAUACUAAUUAAUGCAUCUAUUUACCUCUUUUUUUUAUCAGGAAUAUCACUUCCCCGACCACUGUAGAAUUUAACCCAAAAAGGCUGAAGCAUUGUCCCAAUUUAACACAAAGAGGAAUGACCAAAGCCACAUAUUGUAUGUGAACGGUUUCAAUUUUUUUACAUGGAUGAUCAAAAUAUGACAAACCACAUAUUGGAUAUAGGGCCAAUCUAUAGGGAUGCAAUCAAGACAUCUUGGGGUACUUUUUAUUUCGUUGCCUGCUAUAUUUUUAGAGUAUUUGACCAUGUACCCUGUGAGGCAUUUCAAGACACAUGUAUAAAGUCGAACUCAUUCUAUUGGUUCACUGAAUUCCAUCAUGAGCUCCCUGGAACUUUUGGUUUUGGGACAUCCAAUCUUAAAGGUAUGACAUCUUGGGACUUUCCUUUUGCAGCCUCCUCCCUUUCCUCCAACUUCCUUGUUUCCCUAAGCUCCACAUAUGGGUAGUAAUGCUGGUACAUGUACAAGCAAAAGCCUCGACGACACAACUUGAUUUGCAUUUAGAGCUCAUGCUUCCCAUGUCUUCUAGAGAAUCUUACCGCAAACCACCAUUAAGAGAGAGCCAAUGGCUAUAAUUCAUGAAUGGAGGUUACCAGAGGUUCUUUACUCUUUUUAAUCAGAAAACAAGGUCAUCCAACGAAAUAAAAAACCUCCUACGUCUCCAUUUUCAAGUUUAUCAUACAUACUUUAGAUGAUCAAGGUUAAAAGGUGGUCAUCUCAUACAUUAUUUGUCCAUAUCUUUUUCCAGCACAUCACCCUAUUUAACAAGUAUUUACUCGGUCCUUUUUACAAAGACAAACCCUCCUCAAGUUUUGGCAUUUCGUACAUCACCGAACCCUAUUCGAAAUCUGGAGCCUUAUCAAGAGAAAAAUCACUCAUAGUCUUUUAACUUGUCACACCACCUUCUCUACUUGGUUUGUGUUAUUGCUUACCAUUUCCAGCUCAAUAUGAAGAUCAACCAGCACUUGCACAAUCAAACUCACUCGCAGAAAAUUUUCGUUCCAAAUACGAAAUAUUAAGGAAAAUAUCGUAUGAGUUUCAACAUCAAAAGAAGCAAUUAUGUUUAAGCUGUAACUGAAACAUACAAUGGCAAAUUGGCAAUUUAGGCUGCGGUGAAGAAAACAUAAAACGCAACUUCACGCACUUUAAGACAUACUCAUUUAAAGUUACAGCUGGUGCUAAAAGUUCUUGCAAUUCCUGUGUUGCACAACAGUUCCCUGCAAAAACAAAAUGGAUACAAUCUUAGUCAUAAGCUACAACACAUUAUUUCAUUAGUCAUGAGAAAAAUUGGAGUCAUUCACAACAACCAAAACCCUUCCCUGUCUUUAACUUCUUGUAAUUGACUCCAGUUUUCUUAACGAGGCCAAUAAUAUGCAUCCGCUAAGAAUUAAAAACGAAUCUUGCUAACAUAAGCAGAAACAAGAAAUCGCAGUAUGAUUAGCAAUACAGAAGCAAUUUCGACAGAGAACUGUUGAAAUUUGAUUUAAAUAAAUUUUUAGCAUGGAUGUAGGAGGUAAAAACAAGAGAAUAAAGACGAGUAUCAUAACUGCCUACACUGUGCAAACUAAAUUCGUACAAUUGCCAGCAGGAUAAUUGUGCUAUUGAAUCUGGAUCUACUUUGCCUAAAUUUAUUUUACAGGCAUAUCAGAGUAUGAACCAGCACUGAUCCAGGAAAUGAAAGAGGGAUUCAAUAGGUUUAAGAAAUUUUCAUCUGUAUCAAAUGGAAGGGAGUAGCAGCCGGUAAAAAGGUUGGUAAGCCAACACAGUGGAACUAUAUCCGGGUGUUUUAGAAUAUACAUCUUUCCUUAAUUGAAGUCAUAUAUAAGCAUAUUUCGCUACCAUGAUGUUGUGAAUCAAUAUAAACCAGCCAAAUUUUCUGACUUGUCCUUUGCAGUCUGCAUCACUCAGAACUGUCCAGCAUUUUACCCAUGAAGAAGAGUUUAUGCCCAUUUAACCUCUCUGUACCUUUUCUUCACCAACAUUUAAUUGGAAACCUCAUGCAUUACCUUCAUGGAAUUAUCUAAGCAACUAAGCAUUUUAAUGUUUUCCAUGUAUACAAUAUACAACCACAAAAGACCAAACUUAGCUUGAGUAUUCUCAUACUUUGUCCUGACUAUAACCAUAUAAGCCUUAAUAAACUUUGUCACCUGCUUCUGAGUUCCCUGUUUGCCACUUCCAGUAUGGUAAAAAGUAGACCACCACAAAAGAUCUAACAUAGCUCAAGUGUUCUCAUAAGUUGUUCUAAACAUAGUCGUACGAGACAAAAGAACUAUUUCACUUGCUUCUGAGGUCGGGGAGUUCAACUUUCAAUAUGUCAAAAGAAAGUUACAAUGAGAAGGAUUGCUAGGCCUCCUAUUCUACUGAAUUGCCCAAUCAAGUGGAGUAUAUGAACAAUUUUAAAAAAAAAUAAUUUCUUUACCAUUUCAUUUAUUUCUUCCAGUGACUUUUAGCUGUUCUAUCACAUAUGACUGCAAAUAUAGCUGUAGAUGUGGAAACCUAGUAUUAAGUACUUCCAUACAUGAACAAGACAAAAACCUACAACUUAUCUCACUUCAUUCAUAACCGUUGAAGUUGCUCCUAACAAAUAUCAUGCCACAUCUAAGCAAAUGCCAAGCUAGCCACAUCACAAACUUUUUGUUUUUUCAAUGCAAAAAGACAUAAUUUUUAUCAACAAAAGGAGGCAGGUACUUGCAAGGAAACAGCAUACAGCAAGCAUCCUUUUAACACAAGGACGGGAGGUAUGGCUGAAGUUCAGCAAUUUGGAGCAACCAACAACAAUGAGAAGGGCAUUCAAGAUAUGAGGAGUUCAUAUUUUAACCACUCGUCGGAAAAACAGCAAAAGAAAUAGAGGUACUAAGAGAACUUCAGCAGCAGUAUAUAACAUGCCCAAUAUAUACCAUGACUAGCAAAUGCAGGAUUGAUGGAGAAUUGGUUAUUUCAAGAUCCCAGCAAGGAAUCACAAUUGCCUUGUACACGAUUUUUAAGGAGCAAAGAUUUCAGUUUACAUGAAAAUUAAAAAGGAAAGAAAACACGUAACCAGAAAAAGCCGAUCACAAAAGAAAACAAAGCCAAAUCAUCCGCCCAACUUUUUAUCGAAAUUAGCAAUUAAAAUGUGAUCUUGCAAAAACAGGCAAUACUAAAAUAUUAGUACCUUCUACAAAACUCGGCAAAAUAUCGGAAGCCAUUGUAGAAAACAAACCACAUCAAAACGACCACCAAGAUAUCUAUCAAACUGUUAAGUAUCCCACAUCAAUCAACUCCAAUAAAGAUCCAAAUUACAGCAUAGAGGAUUGCAUUUAAAAUUUACAGAAAUCUAAUCAUUAAAGCUUAUGAGGAAAUGAAUCAGCCAAAAGGAUACUGAAGAGGCAACGUUCCCACCAGUCGAGCAUGUAGAGUCCGAAAGUGACAUUAUAUAAAUAAAUUUUACGUUGAAACCAAUUCAUUCUUUAAUUUUGUGAGACGCUUAUGAGAAUGAUAUCAGAGAAUCAGUUGAAAAAUUUUCAACUAAUUGAAUGAUAUCAGAAUCGAGUGAAUCAAAUUGAAGGAUGAGAAAAUUCAGCGGCGAAUUUGUGUUACCUUGCUCUAGGAAAUUUUUCCCAGCUGCACAUCCGAAAGAUGAGUUCAGACAAUCGUUAACAUUAGCCGCCAUUUUAAGGAGUCGAGCUCGGAUCAGAUGGCUACAAAGGUUAAGUUUUUUUUUUUUUUUUUUUUUCAGUUUACUUCUCUCUCUCUCUCUCAAGGACUUUAGGCUUUUUAGAAUGAAUUUAUUUUUGGUCAAAUUCCUCGGACACCCUUCGUGAGUUUUUUAAGUUAGGCUUUUUAGAGUGAGUUUUUCUUCCACAAAUAUCUCCAAAUCAACGUUUGCAAUCUAUAAAAAGUUUCGAAUCUAGAUAUCAUUAUUGAGGGUGCAAAUGUUUGAUCCUUUUUAUAGAGGUAAAUGUUCAUUUAGGAACUUUGAAAAAAAAUUACUAAGGUCUAAUAUUACUAGAAACAAGUAAUCAUUUGCAACAUUGGAUUAUGCAUGGUUAAAUUUUUCACUAAUAUGUGUUUGGAUUGUAAAUUAUUUGAGAUAAUUUUAUGAAAAAGUACUGUAACAUUUUUUUUUAUAUGAUGUAUGUGAGAUAAAAAGAUGAUUGAAAAAUAUAUUGAUAAUGCAAGCAAAUUAGUGUGUGUAAAACUUAAAUUCAAAGUAUAAUGGGUAUAAGUGGACAUUUCAAACCAUAAGAGAUAUGUCUUAAAAUCACUUAACUAUAAAACACGUAUGUGAAAUUGAUCUUUUAUUUUUGUUCUUUUUAUUGUUCGAUGCAAUUUUUUCCCUUUUUGUCAUUUUGCCAAUUACUCUCUUUUCAUUUUUUGGGCUCAUUUUCAGGAAAAGGAAUGAGUUAGAAAAUUCAAAAUUAUUUUUCAAAAAAAAAAAAGAGAUUAAAAACAAGUAAAUAAUUGCCCAUUACCCCAAAAAAUGACGUGUCCUUGCGCAUACAUUGCAGUUGUAAUUUGUAAGCAAUUUGUUUUGUAGAUCUCGCAAUUACUAUAUAUAAAUUAAAAAAUUUACUAUUACAUAAUUCAAAGUAAUUCAAAUUUUAAAAAAAUAACACAUCAAAACAGAGUUAAUUAAUUGUAUAGUACCACAAAUUAGCACUCCUAUCUUUACAUGCGAUAUGGAAAGCUAAGAUGAAAGAAGUUAAAAAAAAAAAAAAAUUGUCUUCCUCUAAGCUAUCGUCUUAAAAGUAGGAGUCAAACGAAAAAAAUGAAUUUAUUUAGAAAAAAGAAUAAUCACAAAAUUUUCUCAAAUAUGCUUAAUAUUUUUUAUUUCAAUUUUCAAGAAACAAAUUUUGAAAACAAAAACCAUCACCAGCCUGAGUCGACAAAAAAAAAAAAAUUAUGAAAGAAAAGAAAAGAAGAGAAAAAAUAUUUCUUUUCAAAUUGAUAGACAGAUUAAAAAAGAAGAAAAUAAUUGUAGAUUCAUUAGAUAUUAUCAUUUUAUUAUUGAACAUUUUAUUCACAACUUUCUUUCCAUUUCUUUCAACCUAUCCCUCCAUUUCCUCUCUUUUUAUUCCCACUUAAAACUUCCAAACAAGAGAAAUCCCUUCUUCUUCUUCUUCUUUUUCCUUCUUUGCUCUCCAAAUCUCACCCUUCAAAAAGGAGGGGGCAAUUGAGUAAUUAAACCCUGGACUAAACCCUUCCCGAGUAGAACAACGGCGGCAAAAUUUUCGUGGAACUGUUCUUACAUUCGAGCUUCCUUCAAAAAUCUCUUCUUCCCCAGCUUUGCUCCGCAUGCAUUUUUCUUCACAGCUUUAGGCCAAUACCAUCAGUAGCGGCGGACAUGGACUUUGACGACCUGGACGAGCCGAGCCAGGCUCCAACCCGGCCCUCUCGUUUCGCACCCAAGGGCUCCAAAUUCAAACCUAGAACAGAGCCAGUUGCAGCAACCUCGAACUCCAUUGCUAAAAAGGAGGAAUUAGAUUCCAAACCAGUAUCACCGAUUAAUUCCUCCACCACCGCUGCCGCUGGAAAAGCUGAAGAUGCAGCAUCCGCUUCCGUUUCCCAAUCCGUGGCAAUGGAUGUCGAUGCGAAGGUGGAAGAAGAAGCAGAGCAACCGAAAGAUGAACCGAUGGAGUCGAGAGAAGAAGGAGAAGAUGAAAUUGUGAGAGAAAUUGAUGUUUAUCUGACACCUUCUAUUGAUCCUAAUACCAAGGUUAGUGUUUCUGCUUUAAUUAAUCUGUACAAAAUGUUCUAGUGAUUUUUUUCUUUGUUUACAUUAGUUUCUAUUUAAUAUUUCAGCUAUACGUGUUGCAAUAUCCUCUGAGGCCAUUGUGGCGGCCAUAUGAAUUAGAUGAUAGAUGCGAAGAGGUGCGUGUUUUUCCCUUUCUUACCUAACUUAGAAUGAUAGGCUGGGUUAAGUUUCAUGUGUUGACAUUCUUUUAGAAAAAUUGAAUCAAAGAGUGGAAUGAACUGCUGUAUAGGAAGGAAUUUGAUCCCAUUCUUAGGUUGAGUACUAAAGGAGGGGUUUGGGAUUGAUUUGCAGGUGCGAGUGAAGUCUAAAAGUGCUGAAGUAGAAGUUGAUUUGGCAGUUGAUGUUGAUUCCAAGAAUUAUGACUCUGAUGCUGAUCCUAGAGUUUCAAUGACUAAGCAGGUAGCCUGUUUUCUAAUUUCAUUAUUCAUGUGUUCUGUCCAAAUUAUACAAGUGUGGCAAAUUUUGACAGAAAUCAAGUCUUUUGAUGUAGCAAUUGCUUUUGAACUACUACUAAAUGAAACCUUGCAACAGCACAGUGACAUAGCUUAUAGAGUUUAUUGGAUGAGGGACCUGAUAAGGCCUCUCCAAGUCCAUAAGAAGUAUCUUUAUAAGUGAUGUACUUCCCAGCAUAUGCGCCUGAUUGCAAAAUCUGUAGUCUCAAUGGGCUUCCACAUGAUCCUGUGUUUUUUCUGAUUAAAUAAAGCUGAUAGGAUUCUUGAAGUAUUAAAGUUCCUUGUAGCCGUUUGAAGUUUCCGUGAACUACUAGCUACAUCAUAGCUAAACUCCUAUACCUUUUGUUUUUUUUUGGGGGUCCUAGAUUGCCCAUAGUUUGAUAGAGUUUUAUAUUUUGUGAUUGGAUGAUUUUCUUUGUCUUCAAAGAGUUUUUGUUUCAUAUCUUUAUGCUAUUAGUAUGGCUGGGAUUUGUUUUUCUGUGUGAUUUCUGUUGAAUCUCGUUUGAUUUAAGUAUAUUACCAGUAUAAUCCAUAAUAUGUUUGCCUGUGGUCCUUUCCAGACUCUUACCUCAUCAUGGAAGCCACCUGUCACAGCUGGAUAUGCUGUUGGAGUUCUUGUUGGAAACAAGGUAUGCUCUUUUAUCUCGUUGAUUCUCAUUUUACAUGUAUUUUGUGUUUUUCUAUUUGGACUUAUUGGACUCUAUGCUUUCUGUUUGGUUCUGUUAUUUCUGGUUGUUUCUUGCCUUGACCUUCUUCUCGUCUAACAUUAUAAGCAAUUGAAACUUAAAAUUGUAGGUAAUACUCAUGGUUAUCUCACUGUAGCAGUAUGAUAGCAGGACUCUACAAAGUUGAAUUGCAUUGCAAAUUAAGAGAAAUCAAAUUCAACAAGAAAAUUUUUGACAUUUCUGGACAUAAAUGUCCUUACCAACUUUAGCAGGAGCAUUGAAACAAUGUAUUCACUGAGAGGCAGACUGUCUAUCUACCGCAGUUUUCCAAGAGACGAAUCAAUUAAAUGACUAGUCACUGCAUAAAACAUCCACCUUUCUGUGAAUCUAUUUGCACUUGUCCAAGAGAAAGAGAAGGAUAAAGAUUGCGUAUUCAUCAUAUCCACACUCAUAAGCACAGACGGCAACUGACAGUUGAGAAAACUUCUGGCAGAACUAUCACUGAUAUACCCACAAGUCUUUAUAGAUAGUUACUUAUUUUCUGCUGAUUUUGGGCGCUCCCCUCUAGAAUACGGUGAAAUUAUUAGAAAUGAAUGGUUGUUGGUUGACCUUUGCCCGUUUUAAUUCUUGUUUGACUUUUGCUAAAUGAAAUUAGUUAUAACAAUACUCAAUUAGAAGAUUUUUCUUGUACGUGUGACUUGUUUCGCAUUUCUAUAUUGUAAAGUUCUAUGAUUGCUUUUUUGUCAUGCAGUUACACCUGAAUCCUAUUCAUGCAGUUGUACAGCUCCGACCUUCAAUGCAGCAUUAUAAGCCUGAGAGUUCUAAACGGCGAACUACUGCAAGCAGUAACCUUGAAGAUAACACAAAGGGGGAAGAAGUAACUACUGGGUCAUUGAAGAAGCAGGUUCUGCAUUCUGCCCCUCUUUUCUCGUUUUGCCAGUGAAGCUACUAUACCUUUUAGUCAUAAUUUUUAUGAGGUCCAAUGAUCUGAUGAAAUGGAAGAUGUAAAACAUGCUCACUUUUAAUGAUGAUGAGGAUACAACUGGAAUAUUUGAUUUAUCCAAGCUUAAUCUCUCUCAGGAUUUAAUCCCCUUGGUUAAUUCUAGACUUCAAAGCGAGAUGUAUGGUGUUGGGGUCUUUGCUAGGCAUCUAGACAGUGCUAUUGCAGGCACUUUUGUAGGGCUAAGUUUUAUGUAUCAUUUCUGGAUUGAGUCAAGCUAAAUAAAGCAUUUCUGAGUGUCCAUUAUCUGAUCAGAUCUUAUAAACUUGGAUUACUUCAUCUGCAGGGUAAGUCAUCUGGGCCUGUGAUUGAGCAGAACAAAGAUACUAGAGAGGUAUCCUUCCAUUUGGUCUUUAAAUUGUUCAUCAAGAAAAAAUUCAUUCAUAUUAAUCUCAGCAACUAUCGUUCAUUUUAAAAAUUCAUUCAUGCAAUUGUCUUUAAAUUGUUCUUCAAGAAAAAAUUCAUUCAUUUUCCUCGCAUAGGUUUGUCAUUUUUAUUAUGACUACGGUCCUUGAAAUAGAGAUUAGAUAACUACAGUAUUUUGUUAAAAAUUCAAAGCUACAGCAUUUUGUUUUGUGCUUUUUAUUGUAUGGAAAAAUUGGUAAAGUGGAUUCACAAUCACGAGUGUGAACAGCAUAUCUUUAUGGAUUGAGUGAUUUAUUUAUUUAUUUACUUUUUGCUUAUUAAAUGAUAGAUGCGCCUUUUACAACUUAUCAGUCUCUUUGUUCUUCUCCUCUUUCUCAGGAUUGGAUACCUCUCAACUACCAUGGAGCAAGGAGUGAUAUUUCGAUGAGUUAUGUGAGAAAAAUGGUUGAACAUGAUUCUUCUCAUAUACAAUUUUCAAUGAACAGGUAUGAUUCAUUACUGUAUUUUGUAUCCUGUUAGUAAUGAGUUAGAACCCACCUGGAAUCUGCUGAGCAAAAAUGUGAUGCAGCUUGAGUAGAAGACAGUUUAAAGAGUUUAGCUUCUGAAGCUUUUCGCUUUAACCCCAUUUGUUUUUUGUUUUCAAUUUUGAAGGCAUGACUAUGUGAACACCUUGUGUCCUGGCACAUCAAAUGAGAAUAAUGGAUCCAAUGGGCCUUCGAGAAGGUAUUUAACACAUUAAUUGAGUGAUAGGUGACAUAAGCACUGAUUUUUAUGUUACAAUGUCAAAUUUUUUCUUUCUUAAUUUCGAAUUUUUUACAUACAAACUCAUUGGGGUUAAAUUCUCUAUCAUACGGGAUGACUUGUUGAUUUCUAACAGUGGAUAAGAAAAUGUCUGUUUAGUGGAUGAGUAAUUUACAUGCUCAUUUGGCUUUGGCUGGUUAGAGUUGUACCUCAUAUGGUCCUUUAGCUUUCUUUAGAUACGUUGAUAUCAGGUCAUCCACUGUCGUCUGUAGGAAUACAAUUUUGAUGUUGCUUUGGUACAAUAUUUGUUGGCUUUUUGCUGUGGUGGUAGAAUCGUGUUUCAUUGCUUCACUCAAGUGAUCUCAUUGUCUGAUUUUUUCCUGUUCCUGCCUUUACAUCCCGUCUCAAGAGCCAGCAAUGACUGACAUUUGGUGAUAGGGACUCUCCAAAUGCUCAGUUUCUUAUGGAACUUAUAUUUAUUUCUAUUCCUGCAUUUUCUUUUGGUGCUAAUUUCUAUUCGUGCUUUUGAGAUUGUCUCUCUUUCUGAAUUGUUGAGACUCCAGGGUUUUGCUCUCAUUGCCACUUGAAGAACGAUUUAGAACUUGGCUUCUUCAGGUACAUUCUGCUUAUUUGGACUCGUGAAAUUCAUUGAAUGAAUGAACUAUAGAUUUUUAUUGGAAUCUGAGUGAUGACUGUAGUUGAUCUGCUUUUAAUUUUAUGAAUUUAAUUAGUUUUUCAGUAAUGCUGUUUCUUGUUUGGUUGUGUAUAUCUUUUGUAAAUUUUCAAUGUUCAACUUACACAUUCUGCUCUUUGUUUGGACAUAUAAUCCUGUAGCAGAAACACUACCUGGAGUAUGCAUGGCAGACCCAAAAAAUUGGUGAUACCAAAGAAUUUCAUCCGUUGGCAAAUGUGACCACAAAUACUCUCUUGGCAUUUCAUUUACUGGUCGAGGAUUUCUUAAAAUUGUGAAACUUUGCAAUGUCGAAAUAUGAUACUAUUUUAUUGCCAAUGAGUUCCAUCUGACAGUAUACAAAUUGCUAGAUAUGCCAUAUUGAAGUAUCAAAAGUCCAGAUAGCCCUGGGUCAGUUAUUACAGAAGUCAUUAGCUUGUAAUGGGAUUGCAUAGCAAGCACUUUUUGCUAGGAUCAUUGGAGAGGUGCUUGUAAACCCAAAGCAGUAGCAUGGUAUACUGAAAAAUUCAUAGGACUUAUCACUUAGAACGAUGGAAUGCUAUUUCUGUACCAUCUGAUUAACCUUGCUGGCAAUAGAUGCUCCGAUUUCCUACUUGACUGCUGGUCAGCUCAUUGCAGAUCAAAAUUCAACAUGUUUGGAGUUUUAAUUUUUAGCAGAUUGGACAUGGGUAUAAAGUUUUUUGAGGGUUGUAUCACCACAGCAUUAAUUCUUUUAUCUGUUGCAGUUUCUGUUCACAAUUCCCAGCUUCUGCCUACUUGGUUUUUAGUCAUCAUGGGAAGUUAGAGUUGAUGACCUUGUACUUGUAAUUCAGCUUUAUAACUUUAUUUGAAGUAAUGUGGAGAAAAACCUUCACAAAUGUGAUGGUCCUGGGCCUCUGCACUUCUGUUCAUCAACUUUCUCUUCUUCAAUUUCAAACUUAAUAUGACAAAUAGAUCUAGUGUCUUGAUGUACACAAGGGCCUUUCUAAUCCAAAACUUUUGUCUGACAUUACUGAAUUGUUAGAAGUUAGCUACCCAUCUCUGUUUUAGACAGAUUGUUAAAGACAAUUAAGAGAUUUUUUGUUGUAAUGCUUCUCAAUUAUCCUCCUUUUUUUCCUUUAUUGACAUUUUUUAAAAUUACUUUGUUGGUAUACCUUAAUUUGUUUAUUCCCCGUUUAAUCAGUUAGGUAGUUAUUAUUAUUAUUAUUUCUAUAGGGGCCUCCAAUCCAUCGUUUUGAUGCUUUAAAGCAUUUGGCACCUGAUGCAUCUGUCGAGGAUAUCUUGGCAGUCCUCAGCCAACACGCUCAAUUAGUUCAAGGCUUGUGGAUUCCCAAAAGUUCACUGCUGUAUGGAAAAGAUCAAGGAAUUGAUGCUUUAGCGAGGGAUUAUGUUCUUCUUCUGUUUAGCAGGACUCCUAUUAUUAACAAUUCACAACUACCACAACAACAGAAACUCAAUAGAGCUAUGAGAGAUGUACUUAACACAGUAGCUUUUGAGAGAGCUUCUCUUAAUGAUUGGAAGUUCAAAGAGCCUCCUGACAUGACAUUCAUAAAACUUAACCCUAAGAUUGUCAGAGAACAGGAACAAACUUGGGAACGCUUGGAGAAACUGAUAACUGAAAAGAUCUUUGUAGAUAAAAACAGGCCUGCUACUAAAAACUCUUCAAGGCCUCUCACCACAAAUAACCCUGCAACAUCAAAGAGUUUAAGUAAGCAUGCAUCAAAUUCUUUAAAUGCAGGAGUGCCAAGGAGACCAAUGUCAGAAGAAACUCGCGAGGCUUUACCAAAGGCCCUUCAGAAACUUUUUCAAAGUCACAAGGUUUGCAGGUGAUUUUUUUUUCCUGCCUUUGGUUAGAUAUUGCUAGUAUUGUUAGCAUUCUUAACUUCAGGUUAUUAUGUACGGUUCAUGCCAACCACUUCUUCUUCUUUUCUUAUUUAACGAAAAAUGGUAGAAGGGAGUAUCUACACAAAACAAGGGCAAGCAUCAGUACUACAAACUGCUAAAGCAGUGGUGUGACAAAAACCAACCUACAAAACUAACAACUGUUUACACAACAGCAUUACAUUAAAAAUAUCUUCAGGCAAUAAUUUUUGCUCAAAAGUACUAGAAGGCAGGGUUCAUCCAAGGGCCAGGGACCUAUCAUCCUAAGUGCUUCGAAUAACUUUCUAAGAAGCACACACACCUCUUACAUUUGUUAACUGUAUCAACACAGAGUUCAGGGAUGCACACAGUAAAUGUGUUGUAGCUGGUUUUGACCCAAGUAACAAUUGAUUUGCUAGUUUAGUCCCAGUCUGUGGGAUGUAGAACCAUCUACCAUGUAUUUGUGAUAGCUAUAGAAAUGAGAUCUAGUUUCUCGACAGAAGUAUGUGUGUUGCAUGGAUGAGCAAGUUUAUUGUUAGUCCCUUUUUCAUGAAGUCUCCUAUCUGCAACUCAGCCACUAAUCAAGACAUUAACUGUUUAAUUGGAUGGUUUUUAUUUUUCUUCCCUGCUAGCAACUUAAGAAAUAUGUAUUGACAUUGACAGCUUCCAACAAAUUUGCCAGCGUCUAAGGGAAAUGGCAGUUUCUGAGUCUUCCCGUCCAAAGGGAUUUGCUAGAGAAGCAAUAGCUGCAGCACAUGGUGUUGAAGCUCCUCCAGAGGAGCUUCAGGCAAUCAUUAGUCAAGUCGCAAUUAACAUUCAUGGUGUUUAUGUUUUGAAAUCAUCCCCAGUUCACCCCGAACAUGAUGAAUUCAGGUUAUUGCUAGAUCUCCAGCCCCUACACUUUUCCUAUUUUUAUUAUUUACUCAGUGCAUAGUCAAGAUUAGUUUUCAUUUGCAGGAAAGUUGUCAUUGAUCUUUUCAUUGCUGAAGGACCAAACGCAAAGCUUAAGAAGGCCUCAAUGAUAGAAGCUGCUAAAUUGCAGCUUAAAAGGGAUAUUAACAGCCUGGAAUAUCAAAAGGUCAAGCGUCAGAGCUUGAGUGCUUUAUUUGUCUGUUUGCUAUCCUUUUGGUUUGCCCAGAGCAAAAUUAUUAGAUGCUAAUGGUCACGUCCAUAAACCAACUUCAGUUUUUGCAUGAGAUAGAUGCUUUUUCAAAUGACAAAGUGGGAGCUGCAUAAUGAAGAAUAAGUAGCAUGUGACAUAUCUUAAAAUUGAGUAGUAGUGCUUUGCUCUCUUUAUUGGCUUAAGUGAUGAUGUAAUAAGUAGAUUAUACUUUGAAGUAGGUAGGAACUCUACUGAAUAUGGGAGUGUAGGUGCUGUCUGAAACUCUGGAACUGAUAGAGCAAAACAAGAAAGCUAUGCAUUUGAAAUACUAUUAAUAAAUUGAGGUGCACAGUCUGGUCAUCUUGCAAGUCUGUCCUUGCUUGUUGUAGUGGAGCAUUGACAGUCUCAUGGGUCACUCUUGAACAGAUUUUACCUUACGCUUUUGUCGAAUCUGCAGUUUAGCUAAUCUUUUACCCUAUUGUUUUCAGGUUGUACAGGAACUAUGUGUAUCUCAAGGUUCGGCUUGGGUCUUGAAAAGUGGUGAUGGAAACCCGAAAUGAUGCUUCCCCCAUUCAGAAUGUUUAAGGUACUAAAGUUAAUUAACACCAGAAGUCAUAUGAUUGAUUGUGGAAAAAAUUUAUGAUAACUGCUGCACAUUGGUUUGUCUGAGCACAUGUUAUGAAAUGGUGACACACCUAGAGAAUUACUUGUCUGAUAGAUUGAUUUGUAAAAAUGCCUGGAACCUUUGUUGCUUCUAUGAAUCUUGUUAUACUUCCACCGAUGAUGUCAAUGGAGAAUCACUUUUGACGAUAUAGCUGCAUGGAACCUAAGAACACUUUUGUUGGUGGGAGUACUUUCUGAGUUUUUGGAAGUUACAUCUGAUGGUAGGGGUGGAGUUUUUUCUGUGUUGUUGUACCAUACAAAAACUAAUUGGUUAAAUUAUAAUUCCCAUGAAGUGGUUGUCAUUGCAGUAAAUGAUACUAUAGGGGCUACUUCUUUAGCUGCUGAAUGAGGUGGUUGUGUGGCACUGCUCAUCCCAUGCACGCUGGAAAUAUGAUUUCCAUUUUUCAAUUUUCUCUCUAGACAUGAAACUGACCGUUCAUGAUGUAGCUUUAGAAAAAAAUUUUGGCGUUAUUUACUGUAGCACCUUUUUGGUACAAUGGAUGCAAGAUAAAAUGGUAGUUUGAAAACGUGUUUUGUGAAUAAUAAGAAACACGUAGUUUGAAAAUUGUACCUUUUUGGUACAAUGUAUGCAAGAUAAAAUGGUAGUUUGAAAACGUGUUUUCUAAAUAAUUCAAUCCAAACGAACUCAAAUGGCUUCCCUUUUCAGGUACUCGAGGUUGAUUCAGUGUGAUAGAUUGCUCAAAAAUGUCAUCUGAGGGUGAUUCUGUUUGAUAGGUUGCUCAGAAAGGGUAUCUGCUUAGGUCAACGGAUGAGGUGAUUAUCGCACUUCUUGUUUGGUAGGCAUAAUUUGUGCAAAUUACGUUACACUUGAGGUGAUGACACUUGACAGUUUACUUAGUUCUUAAAUCUGGAUCUUAUUAUUGAAAAAAUUUGUAAACAAUCAGCUUAUUUCAGUGCCUAUUUGCUUAUUUCAGUGAUGAUGUUCAAGCUCUUUACAUGAUUGUUAAUGUCAACAGUUUGUGCGGGCUUUUUUGUGCAGGAACACUAUCCCUGGUAAUUGGUUCGUUUUCUGGAAACUUAUAAGCUGACUCAGGUGGGUUAAUGGGGACAUUGUGGUCAGUCCACUGUAGAUACUUGAUUCCCACCAGAAUUUAGAUUUAGUAGAUUUUUCAAAUGAAACAUACAUUAUGCAACAAAUGAUUACAGAAGUAGUUAAGUGUAUCCUAUAGAAAAGAGGUAUAAUGUUCCACAGAGAGCAAACAAAGACCGGGAACCGAUUGCGUUGCCUGUGAGGUUGCAUUACUUCGUUGUGGAACACAUUUGUCUGUACCAUGUACAUCGAGGAUCAAUUUUUUUUUUUUUCUGUAAAAACAUAUUUUUAACUUCUUCGAAAGCCUUUGUGGCGUUACUGGCAUGAACUCCUCUUUGUUGUGCCACUGCAUGAUCGUCCUUACAUAUAUAUAUAUAUAUAUAUUGGUAAAAGUGAUCGUCUUUAAAUGCUGCUCCUAUUGUACAACUUUUGUGCCGCGGUCAUAAGAAUCUGGAACUCUUAACUGCGCUGCAAUUAGCGUUGUAGAUCCCUGCAUAUGACGUUCGAGCCUCCAAGGCCACGUCUCGGGCUUUUAUUUCACCAGGAUUGAGAUUCAUUGUAAAUCUCUGUCACGAGUCCAAGACAAAAAUGAUUUUUGCACCAAUAAUAAAUCUUGACAUUGUGAUCUAACCUUAUUUUAAUCUAAUCUUAGAUUGGAGCACAAUGUAAGUGGUAAUUAGGGCCGAAAGAAAAAUCAAGCUGCUCGAGUUGAAAAACAAUCGAGUUCCUUGGUACGUAAAUUGAGUUUGGUUCAAUAAAGGUUUAUUUGAAUUUGAUUGGCUAAUUAACUAAAUCAACUUGGAAUAGCAUAUUAUAUUUGAUAAAUUUUCAAGUUCGACUUACAUGUAAAACAUUCAAAUUUUCAAAUUCAGUUUAAACUCGGUUUGAUACAAGUUUAACUUGAUAAAAUCUCGUUUGAACUUGAUUUAAAAAGUAAACAAUCCAAAGUUGAACAUAAUUUAAAAUUUGCUAAAAUAAUCAAAUAUAUUUGAAAGCAAGGAUGUUUGCCUUGUUUAGACUCAUUUACAUUCUUAAAGGAUAUAAAAAAAAAAAAAUUGUUUUCAAGAAUAGUAAUACUCCACCAAAUCUCUUAAUUUGCCCCUCAACCGUUUACAUCUAGACUAGAUUGAUAUAGCCCUUGUGGUUAUACGGACUUUUAGCAGGAAAUGUCAUUGCAAUUACAGCUAAAAAGUUCUCCUAUUUGAAGGUAAAUAAUUCUUCUCAUACUAAUCCAGUCAAUUGAAAAGAAAAAAAAAUAUCUGUCAACUGAAGCAAGGAAAAUAGAACGCAAGUUUGAGCUUCAGGGAUUCAAUUAUGUUUUGCUGUUUACUGUUUAUUCAAAUAGAUGCUACGUGAUAAAUUUGUAGUUUUCCCUCAAAAUCUUCUAUUUAGUUCUUACAAGUUCCUAAUUCUGGCCAGUUUCAGUCAAUUUGUUAGAAUUCAGUUGGAAGCAUUUGGUUUGUCAAAAAGUGUUUUUUUUUUUUUUUCAGAGCAAGAAAAAAUUAAUGUUAUAUAUUGGAUUCAAUGCUACAAUUCCCAUCAACAGUAUAUCAUUGUCGGUGAUUCUAUGAAUAUAAUCUACAAACAUUUUGAAAUUAUGAAAAAUACAUUUCUAAAUUAUAAUCAUGAAGUCCAAAUCCAAUUCAAACUCGAGUUGAACUCAAAAAAAAAUUUUCCCCAAUAAACCGGCUCGCGUGUUAUAUGUAUGCCAAUAUAAACUCUAAACCUUUUCCUUUUGAUAUCUUUUACUUACAAAAUAAGGGUUUUUUUUAUUGAGUAUAAAAUAAGAUGUGUGUACAGAUUUUGUCAAAAAAUAUGUGUAUAUAUAUAUAUUUAUAUGUAUAUGUAUAUGAGUAUACAUAUGUAUUAGGCUCCCAAGUCUUUUUCAGGUCUACAGUUGGAUAUAUAUAUAUAUAUAUAUAUAGGCUGGAUAUAUGUGUGUGUAUAUAUAAAUUGGCUGGACUAUAUAAAUGCUUGCAAGCCCUAGGAGCGAACCCAUCUCAAGUGUUCCCAAAAUAGAGAAAAGGCAGCCGAGAAGGGAGAGAACAAAUAUUCAAGUGCUAUUCUUUUACUGGAGAACUAACAGAUAAGAUGCCGGAUUACGAAGGCAACGGUGGAGAUGAUCUAGAGAACUACGGUGGCUCUUCUCCUCAACCCCGUAUUAACAGUCACGGAGGUGCCGAUGAUUUUAGCGACUCCAGAUCUCAAGUACUUUCGAAUUCUUAUGCAAAUUGAUCUUUUUCUUUUUGUUUCUGAUUUGUAUAUACGAAGGCAUAGAAUCGAGCGAACUGCUUGUGUUUAUCGUAAUUGUUUUUAUUAUAUGUUUUUUAAUUGCAGUUGUUCACUUGAAAUUGCGACUAGUUAUGUAUUUAAUUCAGCAAUUGGCUGCCCUGAGAAUCGUUUUUGUUGUGAUUAAUCCAAUUUUUUGCAGAAAUAUGGGUUUGCUGAUGUCUUUUUGAAUGCAUGUUGUAUUAUAUACUUAUUACUCAAAUUAACUGGGGGUUUUACGUUUUUGAUGUUUCAGUUGAGGAAUUAUUAAAAAAAAAUUCAUCAUAGACAAUUGUAUUGAGAGGUUUACUCGAUGGUGCGGGUUAUUUAAUUGGCAACAUUUUUCUCUAUCUGGAAAUAAGUAUUUCCUCUGUUCACCUCAUUUAAUGGCUUUACUGCCUUUUGUUUUGCUAAUGUGCUGAUGCAUUUCUUAUAUCUCUAGCAGCAUUCUCGUGAUGGUGAUAAUAGAGAAAGAGGGUCUUCUAGAAGCAGGGACAGGGAUAGGGAGAGGGAGAGGGGGAGAGACAGGGAUAGGGACAGGGACCGUGAAGGUGAACGAAGCAGAGAUAAGGACAGGGACAGGGAUAGGGACAGGGAACGUGAUAGGGAUAAGGAUCGGGAUCGUCACCAUCGGGACCGAGAUCGCCACCGGGAUCGAAGUGAGAGAAGAGAGAGGGAGGAGAGGACUCGAGACAGAGAUGAUGAUGGUGAUUACCAUCGGAGUCGGGAGUAUGAUAGGUGAGAAAAGUCAUUUGCUGUUGAAAUUAUUAUAUGUAGAUCUUAAUUCUGUACAAUUCUGUCUUGAAUAUACUUGUUUGCUAACUUUUUAAACUGAGGAAGUUCUUUAAACUCACUCAUCAUUUGUUUGUUCAAGACGAAGAGAUUAUGACAGAGAUAGAGAAGAGAGGCAGAGGCAUAGGUCCAGAUCUCGAGAGGGGAGGGCAGAACACCGAUCAAGGUCACGGUCUCGAUCACGCUCCAAAAGGUAGGUUCCAGGGGAUUUCUUCUUGUUUGUAAUAUGUCCUUUUAUGGAGAGCCUAUAAAUUUUAUAAUAUGUCUGUUGGUCUGUAAUGAAGAUUUUUGUUGUGGAAACUAAAUCACCAUAUUUAAUCACUCUAUAGAUAUAAGAUCUGAGAUAAUGAGAGUAAAUGACACAAGGAACAGAUAACAUUUGUUAUAAGUGUGGUGCUAUCCUUUUGCUCUUUGCUGUCAGAGAAUAGUGUUGUAGUUGGACUUUGAAGCUGUGAAGUGAAAUUUUUAGGAUGGUGUUAUGUUUGUGUCCCAGAAACUGUUCAUUUAGUUAGCUGAUCCUUUUACAUAUACAUUUUGCUUUACGUGCAAUAAUUUGAUUCUCAUGGUUUUAAAUAGUUGCAGGGUUGGAAAGGAAUGUUGUGGCACAAAUUGGGUUGUAUUACAACCCUUUUUGUAGCUUAUUUAUUUCUAAUUUGACUGAAACUGUAAUAGAGUAUGUGCUGGAAAAUUCCCAAACUAGCUUGUGCAAUGGUUUGAUGAACCUCUUUUCUGCUAAUCCCUGACGGGAACUUAGCAAAGUCUAUAAGGGUAAUUUUUUUUUUGGGUUAAUCUGAUUAGUGUAUAGAUUGAUGUUAACCGCUUUGUCCUGUUUCUUUUUCUGUUUCUUUGGUAUUAAUGAAGCAUCUUUACAGUAAAAGGAUCAGUGGCUUUGACAUGGCACCUCCAACUAAUCCCUUGAUGCCUGGUGCUACCUCUCUCCCAGGUAUAUGUUCUGUGGGUUAGUUUUCUAUUUAAUUUUGAUAACUUUUUUUUCUCUGUCUUUGCCAUAGUGUGGAAAAGUUCGUACAAAAUUCAUGCUUUCAUUUUGGUAAGCGUCCCUUGUUCUUUAAUCUGUAACUGCAUUGGUAUAAUGCUUGGGCCCUAGUUCCGCUGUUCAGUAUUUAUUUUUCUUAUUGCUUAUACUUGGUGAAAAUUUUCUGAGACUGAGAGGAUUUUUGGUUUUUUGUUGUGUUUGGUGUUUGUUUGUUUGUUUUGUAUGUCUUGGUCUUAAUAUCUAAGAAGGCAAUAUUGGGCUACUAGCCCCACUGUGCUGACACUGGGCGUGAGCCGACUUCUGUAGCUUUUAUUACAAGGAAGAAACAAUCAGGUCUUCUUCAUCUUCAACCAGGAUAUGCAUGUUUGGUAGUUUCAUAGAUAUUUUACCCAGAACAUGAAUAUUUGUAUCCAUUUUAGUUAUUAUUUCAAUUAUAGGAAGAAGAAUUUGAUUUAACUUAAUUAGGAGUAUAGUUAAGAUCAUUUGCUGGAUAUACAAACUUAAAAUUCUUAGGAAGAUGGCUUUCUGUUUUAUUUUCUGAGAUGUAAUUCUUUUAGCCUUUACAGGUCAGGUAACUGGUACUGCUCCUGCUGUUCCUGGAGUCUUUCCCAACAUGUUUUCAUUGCCAACUGGACAGGUACUUAUCUGCCUUCUAUAUGUAAUGUUUUUAAUGCAGUUUACCAUUUUUUUUACCUUGAUUUUAUUUUUGUACUCCUGGCAGCUUGGAGCUCUACCUGUUAUGCCAGUUCAGGCUAUGACUCAACAGGUUGGUAUAUGUUCUUGAAACCUUCCCCCCUUCCCCACCCCCGGUUUUUCUCUCUCCUACUUUGCUUUCUACUUAUCAAGUUUUAUCUUGGUUCUCUGCUUUUCUAUGUUGUCUGAAUGUUUUUUUAUUAGGCCACUAGACAUGCUCGACGAGUGUAUGUUGGUGGACUUCCUCCAACAGCUAAUGAACAGGUAGUACUCCCAUUCCUCGACUUAAUUUGGAACAGUUCGUUUUCAGAAGUUUAUUUGACCUGUUGAAUGUGUCACAUAUUCUACACUUACUGAUGAUGAUCAUUUUUUGAAUGUUUACUUUUGAAUUAUUCAGUCUGUUGCGACAUUCUUCAGUCAUGUGAUGUCGGCAAUUGGAGGAAACACUGCUGGUCCAGGUUAGUUUAUGUAUCUUGCCUUUCUUAUCAGAGUUCAUGGCUUGUAAGUUUCAGAAUUUAAGAGUAUUCCUGGUCUAACUUUCAGGGGAUGCUGUUGUAAAUGUUUAUAUUAACCAUGAGAAGAAAUUUGCUUUUGUGGAGAUGAGGUCAGUUGAAGAGGCUAGUAAUGCCAUGGCAUUGGAUGGCAUUAUUUUUGAGGUAAGUAAACAUUUUAAAUCUUUUCCAAAAGUUUCCUUUCCAUCAUUUUAUCUAUUUGGUUUCCCAUUAUUCUAAAUCUUUGAGCAGAUAGUACUUUACUUGCAAUUUGUGCAUAUAUUUCUACAAGUCUUUACUCGUUUGUACUUGAAUAAACCUCCCAGGGAGCACCGGUUAAGGUGAGAAGGCCCAGUGACUACAAUCCCUCAUUAGCUGCUACUCUUGGUCCUAGCCAGCCCAAUCCAAACCUGAACCUUGCUGCUGUUGGACUGACCCCUGGUUCUGCUGGUGGGCUUGAGGGCCCUGACCGUAUUUUCGUGGGUGGUCUUCCCUAUUAUUUCACGGAAGGGCAGAUCAGAGAGCUGCUAGAGUCUUUUGGGCCCCUUCGUGGUUUUGAUCUGGUGAAAGACAGAGAGACUGGAAAUUCCAAGGGCUAUGCAUUUUGUGUUUACCAGGAUUUAUCAGUGACUGAUAUUGCUUGUGCAGCACUUAAUGGGAUCAAGAUGGGUGAUAAAACCCUCACUGUUAGGCGUGCAAACCAGGGAGUUACACAACCUAAACCUGAGCAAGAAAGUGUUUUAUUGCAUGCACAGCAACAGAUAGCUUUACAGGUAAAACUUUUUGUUUGCUUUCUUAUUCAUGAGUGACUGUUUAAAAUCAUCUUAAUAGUUGAAAGACUUGAAAGUCUUUCUUUUUGAGGAACACAAUUGGGAUUAUACUUCUUAUGGCUGAUUACAAGUGUGCAUCGGGCACACACUUGCAGAAACUCAUGCUACAACCUGGGACACUGGCCACAAAGGUUUUAUGCCUGACACAAGUGGUCAGUGCAGACGAGCUAAGAGAUGAUGAGGACUAUGCAGAUAUAUUGGAAGACAUGAGAUUGGAAUGUGGGAAAUUUGGUAUGUGCCUGAACCUUAAGCUCAAUUGCUUUUUUCUUCUACAUCAUUUUUUUUGGGAAGGGGGGUUGGUGCUGUUCUUGGGUAUAGAUACUUUUUGUGUUAUACCUCUGUUUUGCAGUCCUUUUCUAGUACUACAUUCUGCUUAUCUGAAACGUUGAUAUGCUGAGAGGGGAUUUUAUUCUCUAUCCCUUGCAUUGGAAUUUUUGGUUUGCCCCUUUCUCGUUUAUAGACUUGAUACUAAUUUUCUUUUUUAAAUUUACUUUCGCAGGUACUUUGGUGAACCUGGUUAUCCCACGGCCAAGUCCCACUGGUGAUCCAACACCAGGUGUUGGAAAGGUUAGUUGGAGCUGCAUGCAUCUCUUACAUACAAUUGUGGAUUCAUGUUAGAUCGAGUCAAUUUGAAAUUGGGCUCUUUUUUUCCCCCUUUUCAGUCGUAAUGAAACAUUCCCUUUUUGUGGUAGGUGUUUUUGGAGUAUGCUGAUGUCGAGAGUGCCAACAAAGCUCGUCAAGGAUUGCAUGGAAGAAGAUUUGGUGGGAAUCAAGUAGUUGCUGUGUUUUAUCCAGAGAAUAGGUUCUCUCAAGGUGAUUAUGAUGGUUAAGCGGUGGCCGCUACUGGUUUUGAAGUUACCUUAGAGAUGCUUGAGUACCGUUAUAGGCUUGAUGCGUGCUAUCCCAUAACUCGUACAAAAUUAGGAAGUGAUACAGAUAUAUUAUUUUGGUUUAAGCUUAGUACUCAGAUUUAUCUCUUGGAUUUUAGGGUUGCAUUUGUACUUGGAUUUUUGGAAUGAUUAUCGAACUUCGCUUUUGAGUCUUGAGUGUCACCUUGAGUCUUCGAUUUGGAAUGUCGAGUUAGGUUUAAAUUUUAAUUAUGGGUUUCUGCGACAGUAACUGAAAUCACACAAGAUUAGGUUCUUCCAAACGGCCAAUGUCGGUCGCUUUAUUGGUAGGUUGCCUGCGGAGAAACGUUUUUGGUUAUAGAACAGAUAGCUGGGAUAGAACGAUUGAAAUAACGAUUUCAAGAUAUUGAUCCGAGAUGCAUCUUAUCUUAAUCUAAAUUGGGAUUUGGCUGGUUAUUGAGACUAGUGGAAAAUUAUGUUGAGAUGCCGAUUGAAAAGUCGUAAUGUUUAAUUGGAAAGGCAACCUGGGAUUGAGUUCUGAAUAGCUUGAAAAGGAACAAGACGUUACAUUCAAAACCCCCUUAAAGUUUAAGAAAUUGCACUUAUCUCCCCUAGUGUUGUAAAAUUAGUCCAAGCAAUAACUCUCACAUAUUGCUUUUUUUUUUUUUUUUGAAGGACCCUCACAUAUUGCUUUACACCAUUAAGCACAAAAAAAAUUUUUUUUUUAAUAAAACAAUAUAAUGAUACAGAUAAGCAACGGCAAGUUAUUAUUGUUUUCUCUGUCCAAAACUCAUGUCCUUCUAUAGAAUUAAACCUUCAUGCACAGCACAACCAGCAACUCUUUUGCUUAAUUCCUGGACUGACCCAUGCUGCUAGCCUCCUCUGUUGCCUUCAUCGCCCAAUUACCCUAAAACUUUCCUUAAAUUUUCCUUAAAACUUUCCCUUUAUUUACGAAGCCAUGCCUUCCCAAAAUCAUUACUAGUUACGAAUCCUCAAAAGAUCCAUAACAAAACACCUAAAACCCUAGAAGAUGUCUUCCCGUCUCGCCCUCCACCACGGCCGCC